Molecule: long non-coding RNA, 44494 nt
Filed under: Eucalyptus grandis
Lineage: Eukaryota; Viridiplantae; Streptophyta; Magnoliopsida; Myrtales; Myrtaceae
Description: long non-coding RNA (EGRA_LNC000627)
Source: RNAcentral
UCUGCUCAAGCCCGGAAACCAUCUCAUUGCAGCUUAGAAAGUUAUCAUAGCUGUCUCGACAAGGGCAACAGCAUAGGGAAUGCCCCGAUGGAUGCCCACUCUCUAGUGUUCAGUGGACAAGAUCAGCUUAUGCUCGGUGAUAAAAUGUUGUACUUUGCAAGACCGUACGUGUCAGAUAACAAGACAAANNNNNNNNNNNNNNNNNNNNNNNNNNNNNNNNNNNNNNNNNNNNNNNNNNNNNNNNNNNNNNNNNNNNNNNNNNNNNNNNNNNNNNNNNNNNNNNNNNNNNNNNNNNNNNNNNNNNNNNNNNNNNNNNNNNNNNNNNNNNNNNNNNNNNNNNNNNNNNNNNNNNNNNNNNNNNNNNNNNNNNNNNNNNNNNNNNNNNNNNNNNNNNNNNNNNNNNNNNNNNNNAUGAUACUAAAUAUUUCACGAAACAUUUGGCAAGAUGCUGAGAUCUUUAAUAAGGAUAGCAGUGUUGCACGUUCUUAUUCACUUAUAAUCACAAUUAGUUGUUGUAUUUGGUCACUUCCCUUCCAUGUUAGUUGCAUGUUCAUAAUUUCUAUGGAUGCCGAUUCAAUUAUAUUUAAUUCCAUUUCUUUCUAACCGCCCCUUGCUCUGCCAGGAUUUUCAAAAGAAAUCAUGUGACUCUUAGUAUGUACGUAGCGAGUAAUUUUUCAUGUGACCAGUAACUUUUUACAAGAUAUUCGACUUCCAAUAUAUAAAUAAAUACUCACCUAUUUACAUUAUUAAUAAUUUUUUACAUAAAAGGUAACCUAUCUACAUUGAUUCUUAUCGUCCCAUGUAUUUUUUUUUUAAAAGGACAAGUUUGAAAAAAAAUUGAUGCUUUUUGCAACGUAACAGUAAAUCUUAAUUUGUAAGACCAAAAAUUUACAUGAAGUUUGUAACCUAUUCAUGGGAUGAGUAAGUUUUGCUUUAAAAAAGUAAUUACCACCGACCCUGUUUAAUAAAAGAAAAUAUAGGAAUUGACAAACAAUAUGUAAGCCGCCCACGGUCUAGAAAGUGAAAAUUAAAGUUUUUUUUUUCUCAGCAGCUGUAAAUGAAAAUUUCUCCCAAGGGGGCUAAAGAACAAAUGAGCCCGGCUUUUUUCUGAUGAUGCCCAUUUUCCUAGUUUCAUCACAUGCUUUCCUUAGAAAACAGUGCACGUUCACCUGCUUAGAAAACAGUGCAUGUCCACAUGCUUUCCUUAGAAAACAGUGCACGUUCACAUGCUUUCCUUUUAAUACAGUGCCGGUUCUCAUGCAUGCCCCAGUUGUUUUGUAGUAAACACUAGAGUAUUAAGAUUAAUAGAACUUGGAUCUUGAGAAGACGAAAAAUUAUCAUAGCUGCGGGGGCAACUUAAAAUCUAACUUCACGUGGUAAAAAAAAAUUAUGUUAAUGAAUUUCCGCUUUUGUCCGAAUAAAAAACUGAAGAAAAGAUUAUGAAGUAUAAAGUGUGAAUGAAGUAGUAUGAAACCUUUGUGUGCAAAAAAGAAAUUGCAGAUUGGUAUAGAAGUACAAUGUGCGGUGGGAUAACAAAAAAGCAAGCUGAUGAGGAUGCUUUUCGACUUUAGAUUUUAAUAUGCGGAAUGGUAGAACAGCUCUUAAAGUUGGCUAUUCUUCUCUUGUGAAUUCCAUUUAGAAUUGGAAAUUGGGACAUGUUACAUCUUCUUAUAUGCCCAAUUUGAAGAAGGCUAAAUAUCCUAAAUAUGUAAAUCUUUACACCAUAUAAGUCAUAUUUUUAAAUCCAAAUAAAAGACAUCGAUAGUUUCCCUAAGCAUUCUUUGUUUCAUCAAUCUAUUCAUUUUCAGAAAAGCUCUCUGGUUAGUCGCUAUAAGAAAGAACGAACCUGGCUAAUAGUGGGCUAAUCGACGACCGACCAACAAAGGUGAGGACCCAACCGACCAGAUCAAGAGAGGAGGACAACAAAUAGUGUCGGCAAGAUCAAGAGAGAGAUGAGAUGAGACGAGACGGCAUGGGCAAAGACUCUAGGAAUAGAGAGAUCAAGGGCACUGUUUGGGAAAGUCGAGAGACGAAGAGUCUAAGAGAGAGGCUAGCUAUGAAAGUGAGAACUAAAAGAGAGUAGCGAGGGUCUUUAAAUAGAAAAGAUUUAGCAUUGUUUUGAACUGUUCCAAACCAGUUCUUCCAAAGGCUGGUUCCCAAGAUUUUUACAUGAGAGCUAAUCGAAAGUUGUUGAGGUCAGUGAAUCUGAAAUGUUGCAGCACGUGGCAGAGCGUGACGUGCAGCAGCGAACAGGGUUGAAAUUUCAAGGCCUAUCACUUGGGAGGACGGUGAGUUUGAUGAGUUUGAUGAUGGCGUCGAUUUUGCGAGAAAAACAAUAUAAAGGGGGGGGGGGGGGGGGACAUCCAAUAGCGACGGGUUUGACCAAUACAUGAGACUUAAUGGUGCUUCAUCUAUUAAUAAUGGCUCUUGUACCAUGAUAAGAAUAAAAUGAAGAGAGAAAAUGGGGAAUAACUGUAUAUUUUUAUGUAUUGAUAAACAAUACGUGAGACUUUAUUAGAUAACUAUUUAAAGUAAUAAGAUAAAUAUAAUGCCACAUAUAAUUAAAUAAGGAUAUGCAUUAUUGAAGGAGAUAUAUGUAUAAUCCUGAAAAAUAUGCAAAAUCAAGUAAAUAUCCAAAUAUCAUUAACAAUUAGAAUGGAGAUUUUACAUACUAUAUACUAAAAAUCAAAUGUUAAUUUGUUAAGGGCGGAUCUAUUUCCACCCCCUAAAUAACUUUAUCCAACCCCAUUUAUACUAAAAAGACAACAUUAUUCUUAAUCUUUCAGUUGCAGUUUAUAUUGAUGGCCCCUUUCCUUUUCUAUUUAGGAUAAUUACGAUAAUUAAACAUUUCAAAUGUUUUGUUUUGCUUUUUAGUGUAUUAAAGCAAAGUGCAUUAUCAAAUAUUCUCAUAACGUUUUAUAUACUCCCUAUCAAAUUAUCUCGCUAAUAGUAAAUACAUUUUUUGAUAUCGUAUAAAAUUGAAAAGUCUCUUCUUCAUCAUUGAUCUUAUAAUAAUUUAUCAAUUUUUUGUCCCUCUUAUCUCAAAAACUCACUUCCUAGGUGGACUUUUUUAUUAAUUUCAUUAGUCUAAAAUAUUUAUCAAGUCCCUUUAUUUACUAUAUCAAGGAAUUUAUCUUGUUUCCUUAUUAUAUUGGCGAGAUAAUUUUAUAGAAAGCAUGUAAGAAUAUACUAAAAAUAUUGUGUGCAAUGAGGUAUCUUGAUAUUUUUACAUAAACAGUUCAUAGAUGAUUUUGAUUUUUCUCAAUCCAAAGUUCUUACUUUAUGUGAUGUUUUGGUUUGAUGAAAUUUUAUCUACUUAACAAUUUAUCCAUAAAUUUGAUCAACUAUGUAGAAAAAAAAUAGAUUUCUUGGAAAUUUCUCUUUUCGACUAAACAAAUCUUUAUGGAAGUAAUAUCUAACUGUAAAAAAGCACAGUGCCUUUAAUUUACCUAGAAAAUCUGCAAUAAACAAAAAAGUAAAUGUAUGAAAUUCUUAAUUUCAGUAUAGAUUUUACAUGGAUAUAGAAAUACUAAAAAAAUGGAAAAAAAAUUAAUUUGGGACAAUCAAUUUAAAUUGCAAUUGAAUGAUCGAAGGUAGUUUUGCCUUUUCGGUGAAAGAUGGAUGGAGUUAGUCAUAUAGGGUUGGAAAAAGCGCCCCCUUUGUUAAUUGUCCCUCAUUAAUGGCCAAUCACCUCAUUUUAAAGACAACUUAACAUCGGCACCAUACCUUAAUUAUUUUAUAGAAACUCUCUUAAGGCGAUAUGGUUGUACAAUAACAAUAGAAAAAUUGAAACUACCUAAAUGACAUACAUUGAUAGCAAAACCUCCCUUCAUCAAUGCUCAAAACUAUUUCAUCACUUGCUUUCCUCGGAAAACACUGCAGGUCACAUGCAUGCCAAAUUGUUUAGUAGUAACAUCGUAUUCAAAUUAGUAGGAUCUUGAGAAGAUAUAAAAUUAUUAUAGCUCUCUGGGCAACUUCAACAUCUAACUUCUCUUGGUAAAAAAACUCAUGUUCAUGAAUCUCCGCUUUUGCCCUAAAACAAAAAGAUGAAAAAGAUUAUGGAAUACCAUAUCUAGUAUGAAAUCUUUUAUGUGCAGCGAAAAAAAAAAUUAAAUUUUCUUACUGAAGUACCAAUGUGUGGUGGGCACAUAAAACCAAGCUGAUGGGGAUGUUUUAUAACUUCAAAAUUUUAAAAAAAGAAAUGGUAAAACAGCUCUUGAAGUUGGCUUUUUGCGAAUACUUUAAAAAACUGUAUUGUUUUCUCGUGUGAAUACUUUAAUAUCUAUCUAGAUUAUCUAAAGUACCCUUUAACAUCUAUUUUGAUUAUCGACACGUCCGUAUGUGAUGCUAGAAAGACUAGUAGGCAUCGUCUUUCAUAGAGGAUGUGGUAGGAGAAGUAACUCUUCUUGACAACUCUUCUGGAAAGAUGUAAUUUUUGUUUGGGAAAAUGUCAUAAAUGGUCCCUAUACUAUUACUUAAUGUGCAAUUUGGUCCCUAAACUUUCGAUCGGCUCAAUUUGAUCCCUAAACUAUUGAUAAAUGUCUGAUUUGGUCCAUGAACUUUCGAUCGGCUUAAUUUGAUCCCUGAACUAUUGAUAAAUAUCCGAUUUGGUCCCUGAACUUUUGAUUGGCUCAAUUUGAUCCUUGAACUAUUGAUAAAUAUCCGAUUUGGUCCCUGAACUUUCGAUCGGCUCAAUUUGGUCCCUGAAUUAUUGAUAAAUGUCCGAUUUAGUCAUUCGUUAAUGUUUUUUUUUUCCUUUUUUUUUUGCUUCUUUUCUCUUCGGAGGGAAGCCAGCGUCCGGAGAGGCGAGCUAGCGGAGGGAAGAGAGAAGAAGCAAAAAAAAGAAAAAAAAUAUGGAGACAACUCUAGAUAUUGAAGGCCAAAUCACCUCAAUUGUCACUCAUUAAUGGCCCACCACCUCAUUUACAUAAAACUUAAUAUAAGCACCCACCUCAUUUAUUGUGAAAGAACUCCUUAAUGAUAAUAUAAGUGCACAAUAAUAGUAAAUGAUAAAUAAUAUUUGAAUGACAAAUACCAAUUACAAAACCUAUGUCUAUAUGCAUAUAUUGAAAAAAUAUGUAAAUUAACAUGUCUGAUUAAUGUUAAGGAAAGAAAGAAUGAAUGAAGUUUUGCAAUGAUACAGCUCAACCAUUAAGCUCUAUUCUAUCUUACUUUCUUAUUAUAUAUAUUAGCUUAGCAAUGGUCUCUUCAGCAAUGCUCCCGAGGACAGCUUUGGCCAUUUUUGUUCUCACUUUGGAUUAGAAGAUGAUUAGUCUUGUGGUUCCAAGUCCAUAGACUUCUUGGGACAUGUACAGCAAGUCUGUGUUGAAAAUAGCAUUUCUCAUCGGCCACGCAUAACAUAAGGUGAAGCUUAAGUCCAUAAUGCAUCUAGGACCCACCGACAUUGAUAUUUAUUUCACAGGUUGGUUUUAUCUGGCAGUUUCUGAGGCCCGGAAGCAAGGGAGAAUAGGACCAAGUUGUGAAAGCAAAUUGCCUCUCCAAGUACAAACACUUCAUUUUUUUUCCCAAGGUUUUAUUCUAUAUAUUAAUUUUUUUAAAUUAUGGAGGUCAUUGUUUAAUUUAUUGGGAUGGAUUUUGAGGUAUGACAAAGUUGGUAACAAAAAAAAACCUAGGGCAUAUUAGUUUGCUUUGAUCCAACACCGUGAGAUGUGUGAUGUGAUUAAUUAGUAACUUAUAUGUGUAGAUAUAUUGAUACGUACGAUAUACAUGUUAGGACAGAGAUUAUUUCCAUUAAAAUAGAAAGUUUUAUAUACAUGGAUAACACCAGAUUUGUUAACAUUCCAUUGCCAGCACUACACCAGCACUACGCCUCUCAAUUCAAAACUCUCCUUCGUAUCUUCACUUGACAUUAUUGGUAUUAUUUUACUAAAACCUUACUGUUUAAGGAAGUUCACUCUCCUUGCCAAUCUUUCAAAACUAUUUGCUUCCUAUGAAUAAAAUGCUUCUAGAUUAUUUCUUUCUUCCUUUAUUUUUUCAUAUUCUCUAAAUAAAUGAAUAAAAUUGCUUUAAAGAUCUCUCUUCCAUUACUAGACAAUAUGAAAACUUGCACAUUUAUGUAAUGUAAAAUGAUAUAUUUAGACAUUUUAUGCAUGCCACUCCUUUUUUAUAAAUUUCAAAAGGAUUCACAUGUAGGGCAAAACGACGUACACACGAUUUUUUCUAGCAUAUACAAUAUGUACAAAAUCUUUUACUAUCUCAGUAUCCUAUUGCAAUUAUUAGUUUAGGAUACUCUUUAGUUCAAAUUUAUAGCUUUUUCUUUAACAAUUACUAUAAGAUAAUUCAUGUUUCUUAUCUUUUGAGUCCGGCACUUAUUCCAAUACCCCUAAUAUAUUAUUCUUCCAUUCGAUGUACACAAUCAAAUCUUUGCCAAGUUUCCUUGUGGAUGUUUUCUAAUAGUGCUUGCAAGACCGUAAGAAUUCCUAGUUGGUCAUUAAUGACAAGUUAGUGACAUCGGACCAAGUAGACCUCGUGUGACAAUAAAAUUUGUUGAAGUGGUAUGGAUUAUUGUGACAUGGCUAGAAUGUGCAAAGCAUCUUUUAAAAUCCUAGAAAAAUUCGGAGUGUUAAAACAAUCCAUGCCGCUUUCUUGCUUGAAUACUCUAAUACCUGCUUGAACUACGCGGGAUACCCUUAACAUACUUGUGGAGCAUCUUUUGUAGUGUAAACACGUUCAUCUCUGUGUAUGCGCCUAAACUAUGUGCGAAAGACCAGUAGCCAUUAUCAUUCAUGGAGGAUGUGAUAGGAGUAACUCUACAUAACCUUGUGCAGCAAUGAAAUUUGUAACUCUUCCAAAAAGAAUGUAACUUUUGUCUUCCCUUCCCGAGAAUAUGUUUCCCGACAAUCAUUUCGACAAGCAUUUCCUUUUUUUUUUCCAUUAUAGAAACAAGAAAUACUGUUUGUCCACUGGUGCUUUUCAAAGAAUUUCUCCAAAUUUUUUUUGUCUCGAAAGUGAAGCAAAAGACAAAAAGAGUAAUGGCAAAGAAACUCCAAUAAAUUCCAAGAAGACCACAAAUUUUGCGGACACAAAUUGAAGUUUGUUGCUUCGCUUUUCGCAUCCCUCCUCAUGAGAACGUCUCUUUUUCCAUCACUAGUAGAACUUCCAUGCAUUAUGUUUGGAUUAAUCUCUGUUGUUUUUUCUUUUUUCAAAAUUGUCUCAAUUCGAGGCAUUUGUUAAAAAAUUGCCACAUCGUAAUGAUUUUAUUGACACAAUUCGUUUACCCUGUGAAUUGGGUGAUGUGGAGAGAGUUUGUAUUGGCUUAGAUAAUCUUAGCAUCUAGUGUCUUUGUUGACGUGGCAACAUCUCAAGAUGCCAUAUUGGACACUUAUAUGGACAUUUAACAACUAUUUAACGGUGUUGGCAUCAUGUCAACAUUUUUCAUUUGGAACAUUAACGAAGUCCUCACAUUGACCUCAUGAAAAAUUCAGAUAAUUGAUUGAACGAGAAAACUUUAGGUACCUAAUUGCGAAAGGGCUAAUAAUACAAGUACUUGUAAUGCCAUUGUUCCAAAGAGUUUAUCACAAAAUCAUUGGUCUAGGCUCAAAUCUCAAACAUACUUUUGUUUACGGAAUAUUUUCUCCACAACUCAUCCUCUCGAUUCAUUUCUUGGUUUCCCUUUAAUAAUUUUCUUUUGUAAGAUUAUUCAUUCUUUCGCGUGAAAGAAAACAGGAAAUAAUUUUGUUAAUUUCACGUGCCAAAAGAUUUCAAUGGCUAAAUGUCAAGCACAUUGGAGGACUACAAAAUUUCUCAAUGUCGAUUUCCCUUAGAUUUUUUCCUAAUCAUUCGAUCAUAAAAAUUCAAGCUUUACACUUGAAAAUUUUUAGUGGAUUAUCAAACGUUUGAUUGAAAAUAAACUUUUUCUUAACACUUGAUUUUAGUUCGGUUGGAUAUCAUAUUAAUAGUAUUAUCAUCACAUGUAAUUGUAUGGGCACACUUAAUUUAAAACCUUACUAUGAUUUCUUUACCAAUUACAUCUAAUUUGCCUAAAUAAUAUUUUUUGUAGAUAAUUUGUUCCAACUUUUCCAGAGAUCAAUUGAUAUCAUCUGGAAUCCCCAGUCUGACCCGCAAGAGACAACAUUGAUACCACAGAAUAUAUUGCAGCCCAAUAUAAGCAGUUAACGACUACUUAAUAGCAUUGAUGUCAUAUAAACAUUUUCCGUUCACGAUUCAAUGGAGGUCUCGCAUUGACCUACAUCCGAAUUGUCGAGAUAAUUGAUUGAAUGAAAAAAAAAAAAACUCUAGAUACUUGAUUGCCAGUUCAUAGGUAAGAAAUUUCAUGCACCUAACGAUCUACUUUUAUUUUAGUCAAUUUGAAUAUUUUUAGAAGCCGUAGAUACAUAAUGAAAUUGAUGACGUUUCUUUUAUGAAGGGUUUGCUUCAACCACACGUAUGAAAAAUCGAAUAAGCGCCUCCUCUGAUUGUCUUUCUCUUUUCCUUAUUCAGCCAGAUCCCAAAUGCUUGAAACAAGGCGCCAUCAAAUCAUAUAUAUGUGCCAAGAGAUAUAUAUAUAUAUAUAUAUAUAUACAAGGCGAUUGUUAAUGAUAGUUGUAAAGUUAUACACAUAUUUCAAUAGUAUUGAAAUACUCCCUCAUCCAUUUAAUUUUGGUGCGCUUCACCACAUUAUGGUCAGUAUUGAAUAUAUAUAUUUUUCUCUUUUAAUAUUCAAUAACUUUGCGGAUUCCAUAAUUUUUUAUUUUGUGAAAAAAGAAAAACGGAAAAUUGAUAGUGCUUGCAAUUGAGGCCUCCAUGUACCAAAUUAGAUUAGUGCAUUUGUCAAUUUAAUUAAUUAAUUAAUUAAUUAAUUAAUUUAUGUAGGCACUCAUAUUUGGUUCAAGUAUACCAACUUAUGAGGUUGGAGUUGAAAACAAUCAACCAUAAAAACAGCUCAUUUUAUGCUAAUUCCUUAUUCUUAAUCAGAUGUGAUAUGGAAAUAUCGAAUAUGGACACUAGUAAAUUUCAUAUUUUAGAUUUCAUAAUUAAAGGACCUCACUAAUUGGCAUCAAAUUCAAAUGAACUUUGGAUUUCAUAAACAAGAUGUUUACUUACUUAUUAAUUUUUUUCAUUUUUUCUUUGAUAGAUUCCAAGAAGACCAAGACUUUUACAUGUUUGUAUGUUAGUGGGAAAAAAACUUCAAUAGAUAUCAAGAAGACCAAGACUUUGUAUGUCUUUCUUGCCAUUACCAAUAGAAUUUCUAGGCGCUACAAGUCUUGCUUAAAAUUAACAAAGCCAUAAUUUUCCUUCAAUUCUUUUUGGGUUUAAUCAUUUUGGGAUUUUUUCAUUCAUUAAUCUCUAUUGUAUCGCAAAGUGAUGAUGAGCAAAUGGAGAGAGAACCAUAAAGUCCGGGAAGAUCAAGACUUUCACCUACUAAAAAUAUCAUUUUCAGACAAGGACUUUCACCUACCAAAGAUGUCAUUUUCUUUUUCAAAGAAAAAGUGAAAGAGUGAUGGCGAGAGAGAAACUAAUAUAUUCUAGGAAGACCAAGACUCUGCAUGUCAUUUGAUUGUGCACGUCUUUUGAUGGUGGGAAAGAAACUUCAAUAGAUUCCAAGAAGACCAAGACUUUUGCACGUUUGUACGUUAGUGGGAAAGAAACUUCAAUAGAUGCCAAGAAGACCAAGACUUUGUAUGUCUUUCUUGCCAUUACCAGUAGAAUUUCUAGGCGCUACAAAGUCUUGCUUAAAAUUAACAAUGCCAUAAUUUUCCUCCAAUUCUUUUCGGGUUUAAUCAUUUUGGGAUUUUUUUCAUUUAUUAAUCUCUAUUGUAUCGCAAAGUGAUGAUAAGCAAACGGAGAGAGAACCAUAAAGUUCGGGAAGAUCGGACUUUCCACCUACUAAAAAAAUCAUUUUCAAACAAGGACUUUCACCUACCAAAGAUGUCAUUUUCUAUUUUUGUGGAAAGUGAAGCAAAAGUGAGAGAGUGAUGGCGGGAAAGAAACUAAUACAUUCCAAGAAGACCAAGAUUGUGCACGUCUUUUGAUGGUGGAAAGAAACUUCAAUAGAUUCCAAGAAGACCAAGACUUUUGCACGUUUGUAUGUUAGUGGGAAGGAAACUUCAAUAGAUGCCAAGAAGACCAAGACUUUGUAUGUCUUUCUUGCCAUUACCAAUAGAAUUUCUAGGCGCUACAAAGUCUUGCUUAAAAUUAACAAUACCAUAAUUUUCCUCCAAUUCUUUUCAUUUUGGGAUUUUUUCAUUCAUUAAUCUCUAUUGUAUCUUUUCAAAUUUGAGUUCAACAAAUGAAAAGAAAAAAGCAAAGAGAAAAAACAGACAAGAAGAAAGAGCAAAAAAGUUUAAAAAGGAAGUAAAGAAGGAAAGGGGCAAGAUAGAGCACCAUUGAAGCACAUCCACAGUGUGUUGUUGCCGUUAGCACCAUCACUUUGGUGACUAUUUCCAACUUUGCCACCUUAUAAGUUACAAUGACCUUCGUAGACAAUAUUUUUCUUGAGAUGUUUUCCUUAGACUGGUUCAGAAGUUGAGGAUAAUGGCAUCGAAAUUAUCAAAACUUUCGCUUGUUUUACAAUAGAGUACCUAAACUUUUCUUUUUUCAAUCAAGUAUCUCACUUUUUCAAAUUUGAUACAAUUUGAGGCAUUCGCUAAAUGAAUCAUCAUGUCAUAUGAUUUUGGUUACAUGAUUUGCUCACCUUGCAUAUUGAGUAAUGUGGAAAGAAAAAAUAUUGACUUAGAUAAUCGUAGUGUCUUAUAUAUCUCGGCCGAUGUGGCAGCAUAUCAAGAUAUCGUAGAAAACACUAAUGUGGGCAAUUAAUGACUAUUUAAUUAAAUCGGUAUGAUAUCAACAUUUUUUGUUAGUGAUUUAAUAGAGGACUUAACCUAUAUUCGGAAAAUUGAGGUAAUUGACUGAAUGAAAUAAAAUUUUGGUAUGAUUAAAAAAAGGGUAAUAAUUUAUCCAAUAAUUUAUCUUUUUUUACAUGAUAUUCAUGUGAAAGAGAAUAUUAAGUGGUUUUGUCAAUUUCAAGCCAUUGCAAAAAGAUUUUAGUGGCUAUAUGUCAAGCCCAUUUGGAGACUAUAACGUUCUCAAUGUUGAUUUCCUUUAUAUUUUAUGCAAUCAUUCGAUCAUAAACCAUUCCUGCCCCUUUUUCUUGGCCAAUUCCACUGCUUUCCCUUUCAUCUAUUCACCCAAAACUAAAAAAGUAUGUGUAGUUUGGCCUAAAUCAGUUUGAACCGGUUUGAAAAUGUACCAAUUUUCAAAAUUGGAUCUGCCUAGUUUUAGAAUCCCAUGGGUAUAGAAUUGGGCUUUUGGCUACUGUUGCACAUGGGGGGACUCAAGCACUCAAUUCCACAGAUCACCGGCAUUUUACUUUACCACUAAGGCCGAACGAUUCAUGUGUUCAUGGGCAAUUGACAUCAUUGCAUAUCUAUAAUCGUUUGCUCUAGACACAAUCACUGAUUCACUCCUAGUCCAAUCGUUAGGACCACAAACUGGCAACCUAACUGGUUCUCCGACUGGCCUAAGUUUGAAAACAUUGGUGCCAAGUUCCUAUCCCUUCUUAAAACAAGUAGAUAAUGACCAUCUUAUAUGAAUUGAGUUGUAAUUGACGCAAUACUUUUGCCACGUAAUGAAAGAUGAUAGCUAAGUGAUUAUAACUAAUAAACGUUGAUGCUCCUCUUUCUCCUUGGUUAUAUUAGACCUAGAAAUUCUUCGUACUGCUCCAAAUGAGGUUGAUGCUCAACUCCCAUGGUACAUUACUCCUGUCAUUGCUCUAGUUGGAGCUAUGAUUGAUGCUUGACAUUUCCCUUAAAAAUUUCGUAUUCAACAGUAAGUCUUUGCUUUGGCAUCGCACAUACUUCAAUUUGAGAUGCUAAUAAAUAUUAGUCAAGAGGGAAAAAAAGUUAACAUCUACCACUCUUAGGAACCUUAUAUGCUAUUAGGAACUUUGUCCAGCAUGGCAUGCUAUCGAGAGGUCGUAGGACUUUGUCAGGCUUAAGAAGAGAUCUAAUCUCCCCAAUCAAAAGAAAUGAAAUCUAUCAACCAUUGGAUUUUGUUAUAAAGCAAAAAUCUAGAAAAUGAUGCAGUGCAAUAUAUUUAGCUACACAAUAGUAGUUUGAUUUGUCACAUGUAGUUUUUGGAUAUCAUGGUUUUUACAAGCAUGAGAAGUAAACUAGUCACAACAUUCGGAAGCAAAUUACUCAAUAUCAUCUCCAGUGAGUUUGCUAAGAAUUUUCUUUUGAUAAGCAAAAGAAAUUUACUGCACAAUGGCGUCAAGUAGAUGCUAGCCCAUGUAACAAAUGAUAAACAUGGUGCCAUGAGGUAUAAGAAAGAAUGCACAUUAGUAACGUCGUUGUCACACAACCAAAAGCCGUGGAAAGCCAUCUAUCAUUCAAAUAAAAUAAAAUAAAAACCAGUCUUGCUAUUUUCAAAAGCGCUUGUAUUUUUUUAUUUUUUUUGGUAAAGGUAAUGAUAUAUUGAGCCAAGAACCAAUAAUUACAGAAGAUUAGGCACCACAAAACUUUCACUCAAAGAGACACAGCGUCAAAUGGAGUGAAAGGGCGCCUAAUGCAAAAGACCACCGCAAAGCCGUCAUAGCAAGCAGGCAAACACAGACGGCCGAAAAGAAAGACAAAACAGCCACGCAGGGCUGGGGAAACAAAGAGAACAACACCAACCAAGGAACAACAACAAGGAGGACCCGAAGAUUCGAGGCAGCCGCGGAAGGCGCAGAAAACGGGGAGGAAGCCGCAAGACACUAGGCGGUUGGCGAAUGAGAUACUAGGCAGUCAACGUAGGAGAAGAGAAAAUAGAAGGGUCGAGCCCCCAAUUCCGAUGAAGCCUUCUAUUUGUCUUUGACCACUUUAAUGAGAUGCUUCUUGAUAGCCACAAGCACCACUGGAUGACCUCUGAAGAGAAUGUCGUUCCUAUACCUCCAAAUAAGGUGGCAGAGGGUAGCAAAAGAGAAGCGCCCUAUAGCAUGAUAGAAGUCCUUACCUGAUAGGAAAUUCAUCGCCCACUGAAGAUUUUCCACCCACGACCCGUUUCUCCACGGGAGAUUGCACUUGGCCACCCAAAAUAAGCCAUACGCGAAGUAAUACCGCAUCCGAAGAAGAGAUGGUCAAUAGAAUCCGGCGUGUGCUUGCAAAAGGCACAAACUUCCCUCCCGAUCCUCCCAUAGGACAUAAGAAAAGCUUGUGUAGGAAGGCGGUUCUUAACGAUUAGCCAUAAAUUGAAUUGGUACCUCGGAGUGAUAGCUUUACUCCAUAUAAAGGAUGACCAGUCCACUCUCGCUUUCCUCUUUCUGAAAAAAUGCCAUGCAGAAGCCACUGAGAAGAGACCAGACGAAUCGACACUCCACACAAAUCUAUCCGGAACCUCAGGGAGAAGAAUAGGGAGCUGGCCCCACGAGUCCAUCGCCAUCCUAAAGGCUCGACUAGGGUCUGAUAAAAGGUCCGCAACGGCUGCACACCUAUGAAGUCCCGACUCUAAGAUAGUUUGCUCCGAGCAAAUCAGAUCCAACGGCCCCCUCUGGUGCCAAUGAUCAUACCAGAGAGAGACCGUUCGCCCAUCACCAAUCCUCCAGCGGAAAUUGAGUCAGACCUUGGGUCUUAGGUGUAGGAUCCUCCUCCAAGCCCAAGAGCAGCGAGCCGGAGCCUUAACCAUCCAGAAGUUCUUCCCUCUUAGAAAAGUAGAGUGAAUCCACUUGCACCACAAGGACUCUUUGUCAGUGAAGAGGGUCCAAAUAUGUUUGAGCAUAGCCGCUUUGUUGUACUCUCGUAGUCUACGAAUCCCAAGACCACCUUCCUCUCUAGGGAGACAUACAUCCUCCCAGGAUACCUUGGCACCUCCCUUACCAAGGUUAGGCCCCUUCCGCAGGAACCAUCUGAGAAUUUGCUCUAUACGAUCUAAGACUGCGAUAGGAAUAAUAAAUACACUUGCCCAAUAGGCCUAAAUCGCAUGGAGCACUGACUUAAUAAGUUGAACUCUUCCGGCAAAUGAGAGAAAUCGAUGAGUCCAAGAUUGCACCAUUGCCGUAAUGCGAUUGACCAAGACAACGCAAUCCGCCUUGUCGAAACUCGAGGAGAUGAUAGGGGCUCCUAGAUAGCGUACCGGUAGCUUUCCUUCAACAAAUCCAAGGGUCUCCUUGAUCUGAGUUCUCAAUUCAUCCGAGCCACCCACGAGGAACACCUCACUUUUGCUGUUGUUCGGUAUCAAACCACUCCAAGUCGAGAAAGUAUCAAGCCCAUCUUUAAGAAGCCUGACGGCCAUAUCUGCUCGGCAAAAAAGAAACACAUCGUCCGCAAAGAAUAAAUGAGAUAACCGAGUGGCCUUGCACCUCCAGGAGAAGUUGAAUCUAGGUAGGUCCGCAGGGGAAGUGAGGAUCCCCGAGAAGACUUCCAUCACCAAGGUAAAUAGAUAAUGGGACAUAUGGUCCCCCUGUCGAAGGCCACAGCUGCUAGGGAAGAAUCCAUGGAGCUCUCCAUUCAAUGAAAUAGAAAACAUAGGCAUGCGCACACAUACCAUGAUAAGCCGAAUGAAGUGGUCCGGGAAGUGAAAAGCCCGGAGAACCAUCUCAAGGAAGUCUCAACCUACCGUGUCAUACGCUUUCUAAAAGUCCACCUUGACAGCACAUUUGGGGGAAUAUGGCUGAAGAUGAAACCGUGCGAACAACUCCUGGGCUAGAAGAAUAUUGUCCCUGAUCCGGCGACCCUUAACGAAGGCGUUUUGAGAAGGGCUAAUGGUAUCCUAAAGAACAGCCGUGGCACAAUUGGCUAAGACCUUGGUAAAACAUUUGUAGAUCGUGUUGCAACAAGCAAUAUGUCUAUAAUCAUUUACUGAGGUCGCAUUAGGCACCUUGGGAAUCAACACCAGGAUGGUGGCAUUAAUCUCUCUCAAAAGUCUCCCCGUGACAAAGAAGUCAUUCGCUGCAUCCAUGACCAACGAUCCAACAAGGUCCCAGUUACUCUUGAAGAACUCAACGCCAUACCCAUCUGGCCCCGGAGCCUUUCCUCUGGCUAGAGAGAACAAGGUAUUCUGAAUCUCCAUCUCUGAGAAUGGACGGGCGAGUGAGGCAACCUGAGCCUCAGAGAGCGGACACCGGAUAGCUUGCUGUAAGUCGUCCAAGGCUGGCCUAUGAGGGAGAGAUCGCGAGGCAAACAACUCUUUGAAGUGAGAAACGAAUGUCUCCUGAAUAAGGUUCGGCUCGCUGACAAGAUUCCCAUUUCUAUCCAGGACUGAGAUGAUUCUAUUCUUCAGCUGCCUCGUAGUCACUGAAUGAUGAAAGUACUUGGUGUUCUUGUCACCAUUCUCUGCCAGGAGGAUGCUUGUUGGAUCCAGCUGUAGGUCCUCUUGUGCUAACCUUAGAGCAUUCCUGGAUUGGGCAACCCUCUCAGACAAGUUAGAUAAUGAGUCUCUAUUCAGCUACUUGAGCCGUCUCUUCAAGGCUUUUAAUUUGGUAACCAAUUUGAAAAUGGGAACACCUUCCCCCGGAGCCUCCCACACCUGGGUAACAAUGUUAUGAAAUGAAUAGUGCUCCAUCUAGAAAUUAAAGAACUUGAAAGGCUUCCUUCACAAAACCGGUUGAAUCACCUUGGCCAACAUCGGAGAGUGGUCAGAAAUACCAGGUGUCAGAAACAACGCUUCAGAGUAAGAGAAAUGCAAACUCCAAAGAGCGUUAACCAGCACCUGGUCAAUCUUUCUCGCUUUCCGGUUGGCCCCUGAAGACGUCGACCAGGUAAAUCGAAGGCCCACAUAUCUCAAAUCCUCAAGCUCUGAUUGAUGCAAGCAAUGAUUAAAUUCCCCAAAGGAGGGAAGCUAGGCAUUAGUACCACCAAAUUUGUCAGAGGGGUCUCUAAUAGCAUUGAAGUCACCAGCAACCAUCCAUGGAAGGUCGUAGAUGCAAGAGCUCAUCUUGAUCAAGUCCACCCAUAAGGGCCUUCUAGAAACAAAAGAGUGCUAUGCGUAGACAAUUGAGGUGCAGCAACAAAGACCCAACGACAGAAGCCUAACUCUGCCAUGGAUGACUUGAUCAUUAGAAGCUAUCACCUCAAAAUUAACCAAUGAAGGGUCCCAACCGACCCAAAUUCUGUCCCUCGGAGACGAACUAUAGUUGGCAAUCCAAGUCCACCCCGAAAGCAGACCAGACGAUAAAGAGCAAAAUAGAUAAUACGGGACUUUAGUCUCUAGAAGCCUGACUAAACAAAGACCAUUCGAAAGAACCAAUUUACGAAUCUCGACUCUCCUCAAAGGAUCCAUAAGACCACGAAUAUUCCAAAAGCUAAAAUACAUAACGAAACUAAGAACAAACUACGCUAAAUAAGAAAGACUAGAGCAAGGCUACUUGGCUUUUGAAGCUUCGGCGGAGGGGGUCCCAGCGCACCACCAAUGGAUUCAUCCGAUACCGGAUCCGGGGCAAGUGCAAGAAGCCGAUCUUGGAUGGUCUCCACCAUUGUCGCGGCAUGAGGCUGCUGAUGAAAAGGUGAACCAGGGGAUGUUAUAUCCUCCUCAUCCGACGAUGCAAAAGAAGCCGCGACUUCCGACUCCAAUCCAUGAUCCACGGUGGAGGAGAGAACUGGGAGCUGUGGUGGGUCUGCCAUGAGAGAAAGAACCACCUUGGGAGAGGCACUGGCUCCCCUUACCGUCUUUCGAAUAGGAGCGGGCGGAGAAGGACCCGCUGUGGGUGGAGGUGGAUCAACAGCCGGGGCUUUGUCCCGAGAGGGUUGUCCAGGCCCUGCAGUAGCGGAGGAACUGGGUGACUCCCACACGAAGGGGGCUUGAUUUUUCUUCUUCUUGCCCUUUACCUUCCUCCAAGGCUAUUCCUGGGCGGGUUGAGGAGGAGCACCCACCAUUGGAAGAUCCUCAGCCUCCGGGGGAACGGACAACGAUGGGAUCGGAGUGGACUAGACCUGAGCAGGGCCAAUUGCGGACUGAGGAGGGACAGAUUCGACCACGGCAUUUCUUUCUUCACAACGAAACAAUAAGCUAUUGAAGUGAACAACCACGAACACAGCCCGACAUAAACAAGGAGUAAUAAAAACUACUUACUGUUUGAUGUUAGGUUCUAAAGUCCAACAAAAGGAAGUUCUCUAGUAGAACCCAAAAACAGGAGUGUGCCAUAGAUUCACAGAGAAUUUAAACAGAAAUUACAAGACCUAUGAAACAGGCAAUGGGAUAGAAAGCAAAUGAAGGUUUGUUGCAGAAGGCAGGCAUAGACAUUGUGGACCUGAAUAUCCAUGCACAGUGAUGAACAAGGCAUUACUGCAGGGUGAGCUCGGCAUCUAAUUUGUAACAACAAGAGAGAGAAUGUCAAUCAUCAUAGCAGCUGAGGCUGUGUUCUCCAUGAUAGCUACUACCCAAUCAUCUCUUUGACCCAACAAUUGAGAUUCAGAUGCAGGGUGGCAAGUUGAUGCAAGCCUAGGGGAGGCUUUCUCAAACAAUAGGAUCGGGAGAGUGACUCGCACACAGAAACAGGACAAACAGGAAUUUCAGCACUGCGCGAGCUCAGGAGAACAGCUGUAUCUCUGUCGAUACAGAUCGGAUCGACCUGAUUCCAAAGCAAAAUGAACAAAGACUUCUGGAUCUACAAUUUCUCUGUUUUGGGUUUUCUGAAAUAAGCACUGUAGGAUAGUCGAAAUUGGGUAGGAAGUAACAAACAGAACAGGAAAAGACAGAGACUCCGUUGGUUGCUCUUCUAGGCCUCCAAGGAAGUUGAAAGGGACACCGAUUCUUCUAGAUCGAUGACUGCAACUCUUCAAGGAUGCAGAUUUUGAAAGCUCCGACUCUUCAAGGACGGAGUGAAAACUCUUCUAGGUUUUCAAGAGUUGAACUCUACAAGGUUCACGAUACUUGCUUCAAGCAAAGCUUUUCAUUCAUAAAAAAUUGUCUGUCUUCUACAAGGGAUUGGCUUAUAUCAUCAAAGAAAUAAAAAUAGAACGUUGAAAAUAGGAGAAAUAAAGACAAAGCGUAGAAAACUAGGAGAAAUAAAAACGGAGCAUUGAAAAUAGGAGAAAUAGUAAAGGGCAUGGAAACUAUAAACUAGUAAAAGCGUCACGCGAGCUUCCAAUGUGUCUUUGACUCAAGAUGUCAUUAUGGCUUCUCGGUUUCGUCGAGCUUUAAUGCGGGCCGAUCUUCUUGGUCGAGAGAGCCGGUCUUCAAUGUGGGCUGCAUCACAAGUUCAUCUUCAGAAUAGCAGAUUAGGACAGCCGCUCUCAUUAAGUCAGACCAAUAACUGAGAAUGAACCAGUCAUUGUAAAUAGACUGCUUCUGAUGACCUUGCUAGCAUCAAGGUGAGCUAAGAGUUGCCAAAAGCAUUAUUUGCACAUUCUUUCGGAAUCAUUGAUUUCUCAGAGUUCCAGUGGCAAUUUUAGGACUAACAAGGAAUGAGAUGGAUCGGUCCACUAUUAAUUAACUUGGUUUAUAGAUGUAAGUAGAGUAAGUUUAAAGUCAUCUGUACAAUAACUGGAAUCAGUGAACUCGUGAAGAAGAAGACUGGAAAGCAAGUUAUCUUGACAACUCGAAUAAGAACAUAUGACCUUAAAGUGAAUCCUGAGGCUAGUAUUUAUAGUCAAUAUCAUGUAUAUCGAUUAAGGAGCUAUCUCCAAGUACAAUAUCCUUCAAUACACGGAUGGCUUUUAUUUGGUUAAGUUGCAUAGCAAGGCCUCCAUCAUAAGAGGUACCCUUUAGAAAAUCAUUAUCUUCCAUAUCCGAUGAGUCCAUAAAAGUUUCCAUCUUUUUCUUCCUCCCGUAUAACCAAUAAGGCUUAGGACUUUUUCCUUCCAAAUAACGAGCAGACAUUUCUGAAUCAGCUCCGCACCUUCAUAAACUCCUCUGAAGAACACACUAAACCUCUUUCCCCUCUCAGAAACAUAGAAAACGCCAUAAUGCUUCAACAGGAGUCUCAUCAACUUCCGAGGCAUCACAAAUUCUUGUCGAAAGUGCGCGGGGUGAUUGGUUACCAACCUCUUUUCCAUUGUGAAGCUAAGUAACUCAUGCAUUGCUGCAAUGGAUCUCUUAUUGAAUUCUUUCAAUCCAGCUUGAAGGCCACAUGCAUUAGCGUAAGGAGUCAAGUAAGACCUUUUCUGAAAGUGCUCAAUCUUCCCUCCGUAGCUACACACCUUCUUGUAACUGGCAGGAAACUUGAAGGGGGAAAGAUAGGGAAAGCAACCCUGGAGUAUGAAAAGGCAAAUUCUGAUACCCCCAAUAUGGGCUUCUCCAACUCUGUGAUAGCCCAAGUAGGAUUCCACCCUAUGAGCUCGAGGUAAUCAACUUCAUCUGGAGAUUUAACCACUUUGAAGUGCUGCGGAUACUCGUGUACCCACUUGCUCCUAAAAUUAGCUGGCAAACCAGACUCUCUCCUGUAAUGAGCAAUUUUGUCCGGAGGAAGCCAUUUGUCGACCGACAUCAUCAACAUCCUAGUCACGUAUUCAACAGCCGUGCCAGAAUGUCCCCUAAUCAAUCUCUCCUCUUCCUCUAACAAGUCUUCAGCUUCUUUAGUUAUUUCCAAACCACAAUACCCCCUUCUGAUCUUUACACAACUCAAAACAAUUUUGGUGACUUUCGAAUAAAAUCCACUAUACUGUUUGCUUGGCUAUAGAUCCAGCGAUCUCACAGGGAUUAUCAUCUCGGGUUCCUUUUUCAACAUUUCCAUCAAAACCAACACCUUUGACACCACUUUUGCUUCUCAGUGGCAAUUUCGAGAUCAUGGACCCUCUUGUCCUUGUUCCUAUCUUGCACUCUCUUGCUGGUGUUCAUGAAUCUACGCUAUGACCAGUUAAGUAAAAUCUCGCCAAAACUCAAGUAUCCUCUCAGGGUAGGCGAAUGCACUGGUGAGGUGACAAAGCAACCAAACUCUCUUGCCGCGCUUCAUUCAUUCAUUCGAGAAAGCCACUGUUUUACCAAUGAUUUGAAAACGGGUCAUCUCAAGAUGGUAAUGCCUCGCUCCAAAUUCAAGAAACAAGCCCAACAAAAGCAAAUGCCUCUUGCUCAGGGCAAACAUCAAACGGCUUACGUGCAAUGGAACGAGGAACAACAAGAGCCCAAGACAAAAACAUUCGAGAAGAUCGCCGUAAAAGAAAACACAUGCUCCUGUCAUUGCCUUUUACUGAAUCAUUGAGUUACAAAUUUUAGGAAGUGUGCCCAAACUAGUCACGAGCAAGUUCUUAGCAAGUCAUUCCGGAUAACUCAAUUAUUCAUUGAUAUUUUCUUAAUUCCGUGAGCAAUAAGCGUGCAGUUUGAACAUAAUGCAACUAAACCAAGUAUUUACCACAAUAUGGAUUGAUUCUUUUCCUUUUUUAAGAAGAACUUAAUUCAGUUCAAUUUAAGAAAAUUAUAAGCUGAACAGGAUUAAGAUAAAUAUACAACCAAGCUAAAUAAAAAACUGAGUUAUUUAAUGUGAAAUAAAAAAAAAAAAACCAAACCAAUAUUUUCCUGUCCCUCUGUAGGAGUGUAUUUGAUAAAUUCUUAAAACAGAUCCAUUAAACCUCAGUCAAACCUCAGACUAACGAAACUCAGUCAAACCUCUUUUUCUUAAAAGAGAAAAAAGAAAAAAGAAAAAUAAGCCGAGAGCCAUUCACCCCCUGCGCAGAGUGAAAUUCCAUGGUCGUCGAAGAUGCUUUUGUCUCUCAGGUGAGUUUCACGAAGCUCCGCUUGAUUUCACCUCAUGUCCUUUUCUGCAGCGCGAUCGCCGGCGAUGAUGAUUCUGAGUUUCGUCUCGUGUUCAGAGCCGAAGAGCAGAAGAUCGUGGAACGAGAGGACGUAGACGACGGAGCAGAAGACCUGCUCGAAACGAUCGACAAACAAACGUGAGUUACGGCAAAACAGAGUGUAGGCAACUCCUCUCUGUUCAUAAUGCGUUUUCGUAAUGCGUUUCGGUACAUCCUUUGAUUCUGAGAUGAUUAUCGUGAUUUUCUGAUCCGUGCCCCGAAAGUUAAAAUUGAGAUGCAAAUGGUUCGAUGAAGCUAUGGCUGUGAUUAUCGUGAUUUACAUCUCGAGCUUUCUCUCAAACUUGCUGUGAUUUACAUAGAGUUUAACACGAUGGUUAAGCUCGAGUCUUUGUUGAAGGACGAUUCUGAUUCACUCAAAUCCAGCAAAGUGAAGAAUAAUGUGGAGAGAAUCGACUACUGGAAGCCAAGCCCUCGAUAAGCUUUUAGGCGGGAACAGACUUUCUUUUGCAGACUGUGUGUCUUUUUCUCCAUGCAUUUCAACGAAAACAAAUUUCACCGGUUUGGCAAUGUUUACAGGUGGUAUUGAAACUCGGGCAAUUACGGAAGCAUUUGGCGAACCUGGGUGAAAAUCACAGUCCAACAACGUUACCUUUGAUGAACUUUUAGUUGCUUUUGUUAAUUAGCUUUCUCAGAAAAAUGCUGCUGACGUCACUUCAGGUCUGGGAAAACACAGCUUGCAUGUACCCCAUGCGUUACUUCUCGGGUUGGUCUGAAUUAGAUAUUAGGUUUCUGUCUUGAACUUCUGUUGCAUUUUUUUUUUUUUUCUGAUGAAAAAUGCCAAAUAGUAACAUAAUGAUUGAAUUUCUAUGGAGUAUAAAGAUGUGUGUAUUAGGUGAUUCUGGAAGUACGGCACUCUCAUUUUCUGUAAUCUGCAGUCAGUAUACUGGAACGCAUGUACAGUGGCUCAAACCAAGCAGGAAAAAGGCCAGAAGAGUUUGUACUAUGUCACAACCGAGUAAAACCCUUAAUCAUAGUCAGACUCGGACUUGGGUUGAUCAUUAGUCGAAUGUGAUGCUUGAAGAUACUCUACUUUAUUUCCAAAUCCUACAACAGUAUUUACCCCUAUUUUCAAUCAUUCUUUAUUAAUGGUUUGUGGAUUCCAUGGCCGUAAAAUAUUUUCAGCUGCCAACUCACAUGAGAGGAGGAAAUGGCAAGGUAGCUUAUAUCGACGCAGUAGGAACUUUGUAUCCUAUUAUGAUCUGUCUGUAUUUUUCAUGACCUUGACAAAGAUACUUGUGUUUCUGAAUCAUCAUCUGUCCAUGUAAGCGCAUGUGCACUUUCUUAACUUAGUACACCUGCAGUCUUAGAUAAUGUAAGCAAUGCACUUUCAAUUUUAAUCAAAUUCUAGACAUUAAACAUGCUCCAUGUCCGUCACUCUUUACUAAAUCACCUAGUUACAAAUUUUAGGAUGUAUGCCGAUCUAGGUUCAACACAACCAAAUCGGUCAUGAGUAAGUGCUUGGCAUGUCAUUGUGAAUAAACUUAAUUGUUGAUUGAUAUUUUCAUGAUUUUAUGAGCAAUAAGUGCGGAGUUUGAGAACAAUGCAAUUAAACCAAGAAUUGACCACAAUGCAGAUCGAUUAUUUUCCUUUUCUAAGAAGAAAUUUAUGUGGUCCAAUUUGAGAAAAUUAUAAACCAAGCGAGACGAAGGUGAGUGCAAAAUUAAGCCAAAUCGAAUUAAAUUAUUCAGUCCGAAAUUACAAAAAAAAAAGUCAUACCCAAUUUUCUCUCAUCCUCUUUAAGAGUGGAUUUAAAAAGAUUUUAAGAAUUUAUCAGAUCCAUUAAAGCUCAAUUUAUAAUAACAAAACUCCAUCAAACCUCUUUUUCUAUAAAAAAAAAAGAAAAAGAAAAAUAAGCCAAUAGCUAUUCUUCCCACUUCCCGCCUCUAUAUCUAUAUGGAUUCCCUCCGAUUUGCGAUCGUUUCCAAAAUCCACAAAAAAUUUGAAAGUCUCUUCUCCUGCGCAGACGCACCGAACUCCAUGGCCGUUUGAUUCUGAAGUUGAUCAUCGUGAUUUUCUGGUCUCUGUUCUCAAGUUGACUGUAUAUCUCUUUGAAUGUCGAUGUUAAGUGACUCUGAAUACUGCUAAGUGCAUGAGCUUGAUUUCGGUUUCGGUUGCUCAGUUUAGCUCGAUUUUCCUGGAACAUCACCGUGAAUCCAUUGGCAUUUUUACAUCUCGGCCUUUCUCUCGAACUUGUCGCGAUUUUCUGCACGCGCACGAUAGUUUUUAGUUUUUGUCUUCUGAUCAUCCAAGAGCAAUUCAGCCUUCGUUAUGUUACGUGACAUCCACCGGAUGUCUUUUUUCCCGUGUGUUCGUGACGUAGCUGGAUUAAUAACGAAUAUCCUAAGCUUAAUUCAUCAAUAAUAUCUGUUGGAACGCUAGAUUGUCAGUGAUGAUCUAGGAAAUGCUUUUGUCCUGACAUUCUACAUUCACCAGAAAACUUAGUUUAACGCGAUGGUUAAGCUUGAGUCUUCAUUGGAGGACAAUUCUGGUUCGCUGAAAUCCAGCAAAGUGAAGAAUAAUGUGAAGAGAAAAUCAAAGACUAAGAUCGAACAGUAUCUCGAGCGUGUAAUGCGGAAAGCUGAUAUAUCUGCCGAGGAGGAUCUGGAAUUGGAAAGGAAGCUUGCCAAGAAGCUCUAGGUAAAGGAUGGAAAGCUACUUGGGUCAGACGAUGGAAUGAGUAUGUUAUUUAAAGGAAUUCCUUCUAUUCUUGAUUCUUUUGAACAAGACGCACCAGGGGUAAGAGAAAAUUGUAGUGAAAGAUUUGAAGGUAAAUCUUCAGGAGAAAAAAAAGAAAUGUCCAAGCAAGAGCAUAUGCAGGAUGAUGGAAAAGCUGUUCAUGUUAAGGCUGGAGCCUGUGACUCAGUAGACUAGAAACCCCUUCAUUUCAGCUCUCAAGUGAGUUCGUGAGCUCCACAAAUUUCAAUUCAUUUCCUUUUCGUGAUGCGAUUGCCAAGAAUGAUUCUGAGUUUCCAUUCGACUUCCUCUUGAACUUGUUGUGAUUUUCUGUGCAUACGAUAGUUUAAUUUUCUUUCCUUAAAUGACGAGAAGUAAUUUCCACCACUACUUGAAUAUGAUAUGUCUAAUUCACCUCUUCGACGUAUGUCUUCUAAAUUAUACAAGAGCAAUUUGGCCUUUGUUAUGUUACGUCACAUAGUAAUUGUACCAUCGGUACAUCUAUUAUCCAUGUAUUUACAGCAUAGAUGGAUUAAUAACGAAUUUCCUAAGCUAAAUUCGUCAACAAUCACUAUUGGAACACUUGACAUUCUACAUUCACCAGAAAAUAUAGAGUUGAACACGAUGGUGGGUUGGUUUUUUUUUGUUUGCAGGUAUUUCUCAGGGAAUCCAUGCUGGAGAUGUGAAAAAAGAUACAGGAUGCAGGGAUCGACACUUGCAAAUGUCUUGAUGAUGCAUACAGAGAAGGUAUAUCUGAUAUUCAGUUCCGAAAAUUAAGUGGAGGUAUUAUUUGGCUAAGGUGAUUUCCUCUGUCUUUGUUUUGUUUUUUUGUAGCACUUAACUAGAACCAAAGGUUUCUCUGAAGCAAAAGUUGAUAAGAUAUGCGUAUCAGCUGAAAAGAUAGUGGUUAGAGCUUAAUUUCUUCUUAUCCUGAGAUGGCGAUGUAAUCAAUUGCAAUUUCUAUAUGCAUCUCACAAUAACUUCUCUUUGUUUUCAUUAGAAUUCUCGUUUUAUUACGGGAAUUGAAGCUAUGCUCAGAGUAAGUCCUUAAUUCGGCAAAUUUCGAGCUAAAAAUGGUUCGGAAGACCUGAAUGAGUCAUUGCCCCUUGAAAUAAAGCCUGCAAAUUAGCAUAUCGACUGUAGAAAACUGUACUUGCUCUAAACACAAAGUACUUUCAAUGUCUUUAUUUUUUCCAGAGCAAGUCAGUUAUUUGCAUCACAACUGGAAGCCAACCCCUCAAUGAGCUUUUAGGCGGUAAUAGACUUUCUUUUGUAGAUUGUGUAUAUUAUUCUUCAUGCGUUUCACCGAAAACAGCUUUCCCUGGAUCUGCAAUGUUAAACAGGUGGUACUGAAACUCAGGCAAUUACAGAAGCAUUUGGUGUAUCUCAGUGACAAGCACAGUCCAAUAACGUUACCCUUGAUGAACUUUUAGUUGCUUUUGUUAGUUGGCUUUCUCAGAAAAUGCUGCUAACGUCACUUCAGGUCUGGGAAAACACAGCUUGCACAUACCCUGUUUGUGACUACUCAGGUUGGUCAGAAUUGCAUGUUAGGUUUUCGUCGUUAACUUCUAUUUCAUGUUAUGUUUCCUAGAUGAACAACAUAAAUAGCAAGAUAAUGAUUGAAUUUCUAGUAAAGAAUAAAGCUGUGGUUAAUAUUGGCAUCGGAACGUGUUUAUUAGGUGAUUCUGGAAGUUGGCACUCUCAUCUUCUGUAAAUGGCAAUCAGCAUACUGGAACACGCAAUCUAUAGUGGUUCAAACCAAGUAGGAAAAAGGCCAGGAGAGCGUACUAGGUCAUAACCAAUCGGAAGCCUUGGUCAUUGUCAGACUUGGACUUGGGUUGAUCAUCAGUUGAAUAGGAUGCUUGAAGUACUCUACUAUAUAUGCAAAUCCUACAACAUUAUUUUCUCUUCUUUCCAUCACUCUUUAUUAAAGCUGAUCCCGUUCCAUGAGAUGAUAUCUUAUGGUUUGUGGAUUCCACGAUCCUAACAAUUUUAACAGCUGCCAACACACGUGGGAGGGGCAAAUGGCAAGGUAGCAUACCUCGCCACAGAAAAAACUUUGUAUCCUAUUAUAAUCUGUCGGUCAUUUCCUUGACCUCAACAAAGCUGCUUUUGUUUCAUACUCGGCUUAUGUCCAUGUAAGUGCAUAUGCACUUUCUUAACUUGGUACACCUGCAGUUGCCAUGAUUGAAUUGUACAAAUAGCUGAAAGAUUUGGCAUGGAUCCUGGUGCCGUCGCACAUAAAUGCUUUCUACACUGGUGGCAAGUCUUCCUUCUUUUCUGGCUAAUGUACUUGCUGUAAUCUAGUCUUUCCAUGAAUUUGAAGAUCAUUUAUGCCUGUGCCUCUACUUCUGAGCAUCAGUACAACUUCCUUCUCAGUUUGGCUGCCAAAGUGUCUGAAGAACCAUUUAGGUUCCUGGUAAGACAGUGUUCAAGAAUCAAACUGCACACAUUUUGUAAGGUGUCGAUGGUUGACCUUAGCUGAGUAUAUCCUUCAGAUUGUGGAUUCAGUGAUCACUCUCUUUCGAGUGGAAUAUAAUGGAAGGGGAGAACUUGCAGGGCAUCAGGUCGAUUCUGAAACCAUGAAAUCAUGCGAGUUGCAAAUUUUCAGCUCAUCUAGUUUGACACUAAUAGAUUUCCAAUUGCAGCAAACAUUGGCACAAAUGCUCUCACGCUUACUUAAGAUAGCCGAGGAAUUUAAUGUGGCAGUGUACAUGACCAAUCAAGGUACCGCAUCACAUCUCAUUUCUCCCACCUAGUCAUGGAUCCUUUAAAGGAUCUUAUCCAAUUUAGCUCUUUGAUGGUUGCACACUGAAAAAUAGCAAUUUGGUGACUACACUAAGCUCAUACUAGUUCUCAUAAAUCUCAAGAACCAGUUAUUUGGUGUAAACUAGUGAUGCAUAUGGUAGCUGCAGUCCAUGAGUUAAGCAAAAAAGAUAAUUUUUUUGACGACUUUUUCUUCGAUUUCUUUGUUUCAGUGGCAUCAAAGAAGCAUGCAGGUGGGCAUGUUCUGGGUCAUGCAACCACAAUUAGGUUGAUGUUUACAAAUGGCAAAGGUGAGCAGUGGGUUUGCAAGGUGUUCAAAGCCCCAGACCUACCUAAAGCUGAAGCUAUAUCCUUUUUGUCUGGAUCUUUGUCUACCUAUACACUUUAUUGAAAUUUACCAGAUUACACUGCAGACAUUAAACGAAAUUUCUAGAAAUCUAAUAUCAAUCGGAGAGAAAGUCAAUACUAAGUCUAUAUAUGGAUAGGUGGAGACUAGAAUUUGAGCAGUAUACUUGUAGUAUACUUACAUGCGCUGCCUGUGCUAUGGAAAUAAAAUACCCAACCAUUGAUGAUGCCAUACUGCAGAUCUUCCUCUAGUUAUAUACUUCGUUGAAAUUUUUCAGACCAUGCUGCAGAGACCAAGUAAAAUAUCUGGAAGUCUAGAUCAAAAUCUGUGAGAAAGUCGAUAAUUAGUCUAAAUAGGGAUAGGUGGAUACCUGAUUUAAGCAUGAUACUCACUUUAUACUUGAUGUUGCCUGGAGAUCCAUGAACAUGUUGAAUACGAAUUUUGUCCAGAGGAAUUAAACAAAAAGAAGUAGCUAUUGAGAAUUUUCCUCAGUAGGACCAGUAUGUUAUUUUUAGCUGUGCUGUUAUGUAGAUGAUGCACAUCUAUCAAGACCAUCACUUAAUUUAAUCAAAAAAUUUAGGAAGAGCUCAUCUGUCAAUAAGAUGAGACAGAUAUUCCAUAUAUGUUGAACUUGACAGACACAUGUUUUUCAGAUAACACCAGGAGGCAUCACCGAUGCGAAGGACUGAAGGAGUCUCUCCAACCAGGAAGGCAGGCGAAGUGCUUUUUUAUUUUUAUUUUUAUGUUAAUCUGCAAUUUGAUGUUAGUCAUCGUAUUGACCGCAAGAGGCAUAUAAUGAUCUCCCAAGCACUUGUUCAUUUCCUUUCUCUGCAAUGGACACUUUGUCACCCUUGUCAUAGCUUGUCCCUAAGUUUCAUGUGCUCGACAACAAACCAUUCAUGAAUGACAUGAGUUACUUUCUCUAACUGUGAUGGUGACCCAAAAGAUUUGUCAACUACAAUGUCACCUUUGUGUAUCAAAUGCAAAAUAUAUCAUAAGGGUAAGGCCGAAGUAUCCUUUCUGCUUCUUCUAUUUAUGUUUAGCCAAUUGAAUGCAAAUAAUACAGCCUUAUAUUCUCUUAGGAACUUAAACGAGCGUGGCAUGUCUUAUAUUCUCUUAGGAACUUAAUAGAGAUGUAACCAAAAGAAAAUUAUUCAGUGUCAUUUCGAAUUACCUCAAAUGAAAUGAAAUUUAUCAAUCACCGUGUUUCGUCAUUAAGAAAAAUAAAUAAAGUUAUCCACUGCAAUAUGUUUUUAAUUACACAUAAGGUCAACAGUUUGUGGAUAUCAUGGUUUUUAUGAGCUUGAGAAGAAAUCUAGUCACAAUAUUUGAAAACUAAUUACCCAACAUCAUCUCCACUGAGUUCACAAUAAUUUUCUUUUGAUAAUUAAAAGAACUUAGUUGAACUUUCUUACACGAGCAAUCUGGCUUUUGUUUAUGUUACACGACAUUCAAAUCGCACCAUUGCAGUAGCUGCAGUCCUUGAGUUAAGGAAAAAGAUGAUUUUUGAUGACUUUGUCUUUGAUUUAUUUGUUUCAGUCGUAGAUGAUCUAGGCGGUGCUGUGUUCAUAUCAGACCCAAAGAAACCUGCGGGUGGGGAUGUUCUGGCUCAUUUAGCCACAAUUAGGUUGAUAUUUAGGAAAGGCAAAGGUGAGCAGCGCGUCUGCAAGUUGUUUAAGGCCCCAAACCUACCGAGCUGAAGCCAAGUAUACUGAGUCUACAUAUAGAUAGGUGGAGACCUGAUUUAAGCACGGUGCUCACAGUAUACUUGAUGGUGUAUGGAGAUCCAUGAACAUGUUGAAUACAAAUUUUGUGCAGAGUAAUUAAACAAAAAGAAGUGGAUAUCCAGAAUUUUUUUAAGCAGGAUUAGUAAGUUAGUUGUGCAACCUGUGCUAUGUAGACUGCACAUCUAUCAAAACCAUCACUUAUGUAAGAAAUUUUAGCGAGAGCUCAUAUGGCAAUAGGGUGAAAUCGACAAACGCACAUUUUUCAGAUAACAACAGGGGCAUAGCCGAUGAGGACUGAAGAGGUCUCUCCUACCAAGAUGGCCAGGUGAGGUGUUUUUUAAUUUUAUUUUUUGGGUUAAUCUGCAAUUUGAUUUUAGUCAUCGGAUUGAUAGCUACCUCUAUCUUCAUGUUAAGUUUGUAUUGGCAGGCAUCAAGCUCCUUUUGACAGCUUUAAGUUUAAAAUUGCCGGAGAGGUUACCGCUUUAGCCUUAAUAUCUAACAUGCUGUCAUUGUCUGUUAUUAAAGUUCACAUGACCCUUCACAAGGUGUUGUGUAAACUUGAUUUCCAUAUGAGAACCAGCACGCUCCAAGUUAUAAUGGUUCACAUUUGUUCUCAUAUGACAAUAUCGUCCUGGUCUAAUUUACUAGUAGAGAUUCUAUGCGGAAAAUAUUACAUUGGAUAGACUUUGCAUGACGGCUAAAUGAAAUGCCAGAAAGAUAUUACUGCACAAAGCAUGAUCAGGUUCUGUAAAGGCUUGGUUUUAUAAGUACAUAUAUAGCUGCAUAAAAACGAUGUCAUCUCAAACUCUCAAUAUAGAGCAACGGACCAUUAGAGCUGAAAAAAUUGUCAAUGUAUGAGAAAGGGCGACUGGGUCAUAAGCAACAGAAGGCCAUUCAAUAGCUAAUGGCCUGGCCAAAAGGGACCGCAAUGCAUAUGACUCGGCAGUGCAAGGACAAGUUCGCAGCACUCCCAACUCUAGGCAUACUGGACUCCUUAGUCUCUGCACCACUUUUCAAAUGUAGCGCUUUGUACUCAGCCCAAGCUAUUCACCCUAGGAACUGGCUUCACCUCAUUCGGCGCAUGCUCGUAACUCCUCAAACAUUUAGAGCUGGUAAAGAAGCAUCCUGAGUUGGAAAAGAAGGCAACGUUAACAGGUGAACGAUUCGGCACUCAAAAAUCAUUCGAAGAGCAACAUUGUACGUGAAAAGGCACAUUUCAAUACAAGGAUACAGGUAAAGAACACCAUUUUAACCUUAGAUUAUAAAUUUAUGUUCGAAACCAAUUUUUCCAAAAUGCUGUUACCCAACAACAUAACAUUCUCCUCUGAACUCUGCUUAAUAUCAUCAGAGCUCAUCCAUCCUUACUUUUCAGAUUGCAAUGCAUGGACCAAAUUCCAGUGGAGCCGCAUCAACAAACUGAAAAAAUAAUUGCCGCUAGGAAAUGGUGCAAAAGACUUCCCAAAACCCAUCUUCAUGACUUCUGCAUCAUCUGAGCGAACAAGACUGCCUCCAGAAUCAAUUCCCCAGAAGGAAGGAAAACUGCCAUAACAUCCUGAAUGAUUCAGAGGACAGAAAGGAUUAGAUAUAGAUCACAGGUGGAGGGAGAGAUUGAGAGCGAUGUCCCAGAAUGAAACCAAUGAACAUUAUUGUUACUCACACAGGCCAGAAAAGGGGUUUUAGAAGAGCUGUCGAAGAGCACAAAACCAAACUUCCUGCUGAUCUCUCUCACGACUUGAUCAGCAGGGUAGGCCGCCGAUCCCUCAGAGUUCAAUAAGCUUCUACGACAAUAAUGACCUCAUUAGCGGUUUUAUUCCAUCCAUAUUACUGCAACAUUGCCUCUGUCCUUGGAACAAGCAACCGAAAACAAUCUGUCACAGAGGGUAAGGCAUGUCAAAUCUCGAUGUGGGACGAGCUGAUUGAGAAGAGAAGACAGUACGGCAAUUUCCCUCAAUUAACAAUCCAAUAAAUUUCAUUUUCUGGCUUUCAAAAUGAACCAGAGACUCAAGUUCCACUAUCUCCUUUAGGCUGACAAAUGGAACCUUUCAUGAUAUCACAGUAAAGUCCAACAAAAAUCAGUUUGAUCUAACCGUUGCCUCUCUAAACAAUGAAAUCACGAUUAUUUUUUCUUUUUUGGUGGUUAAAGCUACCUUUAUCAAGAGAUGGAGUGGGAAUUUGCAUAGAAGAACGAUAAACUUUAUUCUUUGACCAGGUAAUCAGUUUUUAAAUGGGUUUUGGCCAACAUAAUUCAUUCAAAAUUUAGCUGUUUCAUUCACAUAUUCAAACCUCUGUUUGAAAUUUAUCCUUCCAUCUAUACAAUAACUGUUAUGGGAAGAAAGAGAGCUUCUUAUUUUGAAUAUUGACCUGUCAAUGUUAAAAGGAUAUUAUCUAACCAAUUCACAUACAGAAAUUCACAUUGUAUUUUGUGGCUCCUACAAUAUAGUCACUAAAAGCAAUUCUGUACUUAGAGUCAAAAGUACAACUUUUAACCUAUUGGCAAGUGAUACUGCAUAUUCAAUGUUAAAAACUUAAGACUCGUCCUUCCAUGAGCCCCGAUCAAAAUGACAAACGAGGGCCGCUGUUACUGUGAGUACAUCAUGUAUAUCAGCAGCAAUCCUCUCUUCAUCCUUUUUGGCUUUCUCUAUGUAACAAAGCCUCAUUUUAUGUUUUAUAAGGUAAUGUGAUGUGAUCUCAUUGAACCACUCUUGGCUGAUGACAAGAACUAAACUCACCUGAUUCGACCAGGACUGAAGUAUCUUAUUAUGAUCCUGGAAAUUCCCACAGAAAGGCGCCACCUUGCCUUAAGAAACCACCCAAAGCUUGUCCAUGCUUCCAGAUAUUGGAUGCUCAUCGUGACUAACCUGCAAAUCAAGGUGAAAAGAUGGCUAUUAGCUGUAAAGACAAUCCAUCAUUGGUCAAAUUGAAGUAUUCUGGCAAAAAAAUCAAUCUCACCAUCAGACAUCUUCCUUGGAACAAGACCAGCCCUCGAAUGAGCACCUCAACCACAUCCAAAUCCUGCAGUUUGGGAUAGUAAAAAACACAGAAUCAUACUCAUCAAUCCUUAGACAAGAAACUAGCAAUUUACAAAGAUAGAACUUUAGUAGUCAUAGGUCAUUAAAGUAGAACUUAAAGUCGCUUGGUGCAAGUGGAUCCACUCCACGUUCCUAAAAAGGAAGAACUUCUGGGUGGUUAAGAAGCCGACCUGUUGCUCUUGGGCCUGAAAGAAAAUUUUACAACUCAGAGUAGAAGUCCGGCUCAGUUUCUGGUGGAGAAUUGGGGAUGGCCUUUCUAUGUCACUUUGGUUUGAUAACUGGCAUCCUGAGGGCCGCUGAANNNNNNNNNNNNNNNNNNNNNNNNNNNNNNNNNNNNNNNNNNNNNNNNNNNNNNNNNNNNNNNNNNNNNNNNNNNNNNNNNNNNNNNNNNNNNNNNNNNNNNNNNNNNNNNNNNNNNNNNNNNNNNNNNNNNNNNNNNNNNNNNNNNNNNNNNNNNNNNNNNNNNNNNNNNNNNNNNNNNNNNNNNNNNNNNNNNNNNNNNNNNNNNNNNNNNNNNNNNNNNNNNNNNNNNNNNNNNNNNNNNNNNNNNNNNNNNNNNNNNNNNNNNNNNNNNNNNNNNNNNNNNNNNNNNNNNNNNNNNNNNNNNNNNNNNNNNNNNNNNNNNNNNNNNNNNNNNNNNNNNNNNNNNNNNNNNNNNNNNNNNNNNNNNNNNNNNNNNNNNNNNNNNNNNNNNNNNNNNNNNNNNNNNNNNNNNNNNNNNNNNNNNNNNNNNNNNNNNNNNNNNNNNNNNNNNNNNNNNNNNNNNNNNNNNNNNNNNNNNNNNNNNNNNNNNNNNNNNNNNNNNNNNNNNNNNNNNNNNNNNNNNNNNNNNNNNNNNNNNNNNNNNNNNNNNNNNNNNNNNNNNNNNNNNNNNNNNNNNNNNNNNNNNNNNNNNNNNNNNAAUUUCACCUUUGGCUGUCACCAGGCAUAGGCUUCCCACCCAAGCUUUCCUCCUCUCUUAUGGCAGGAUUGAUACUACUUUUUGCCCCUUCUGUGAGAAAGUGCCUGACUCUAUUGACCAUCUAUUUUUUAAGUGUCGGGUCACGGCUGGUUUGGCUUUCUUUUGGGCAAUCAGAUGUAACCUUCUGUGGCGAAACCGGUCUUGGGAUGAAAAUCUCCUUUGGGCCACAACCUUUCUUGUGGGCAAUGACUUCUUCAAAAGCAUGGCGCGAUUUUCUUUUCGCGCUCUUUGUCAUAUCAUUUGGAGGAAUAGGAACAAUAUUCUCUUCAGAGAUGAGCCGCUGUCCAUUCUAGCCAUGAAGAAUCAUCUCCUCAAAGUGGUCAAAGAUAAGGCACUCUUUUUCAGGGAUGUGGAAGAUUCCUUCAGAAAUAGGAGACUACAGCGCAGUUGGGACUUGGAUCUGAGUAUCUUUGCUCUGCGCGUUUCCCUCUCGGGUGACUAGCCGUCUCUAGACCGACUGAUGUUGGUCUUUGUGUCGUCGUGCUUGUCUGGCGGUUGUUCAUGCUGUCUGGGUCUCUUUCUUUUCUUUUCUUGCUCUUGCCACUUGGCCUCUUUCUCAGCUUCCUUCCACUCAUAAUGAGCCUGUUCAUCUUGAGUGCAAGUUUCUAAAGCCGGUUCGUUUUGUACAUUUUGGUCUUCCCCAUUUAUAUAUUGCUUAUUUUACCAAAAAAAAAAAAACAAAGAAAUUUCCACAUUAAUUAUGUGCAAAACCCAACGCUGCCUAUAGGAUAUUAGAACUACUUGGUAUUACAGAUUACUGCAAUACAAAAAACACCGAUCAUGCUAGCAUACAUGUUCGAUUCCCAAUAUUUUGCCAAUUGGAACAAUUAGAUUGGUUCUGUUCCAUUAUAAGUUAGAUGUAAGAUGGCAGAGGCUCCCUGUUGUGAUCACCAAUUGGUUCCAUUGUAUUUUCAAUGCAAAGACCAGAUUCCUAUAAGUUCAAAUAGUGCAAGAACAAUAUAACAAGCUAACUGAAAAAGUCAUCGAAGUCACAAAAUGGAGAAAAAUGAGUAAAACUUACCAGAUGAUCGGAUGGCUCGCAAGCAAAACUAUGUGAGGUUUCUCAAAAGUUAUCUUGGCAAAUGCAACACUGCUUUUCUGACCACCUAUUUAUAUGGGCAAAGAAUCAUGUUAUAUGUGCAAUAACAUUCAAAAAGCCUCAGAGAAAGUACAGUGAACUGCAAUUUAGAUUACAAAUUAACUCACCUCUAAAAGAGCUUCACGACCUCACACAAAAAUUGCUUCAAUAAAAUUUUUUCAUAUGCAACAGUAACAGAGAGGGAGGAGAUGUAUCAGACAAGGUUUGCAUUCGUCGAACUGCAAGAUUUCCAGUUACACCAAACAAACACAAGUAAGCUCGAAACUUUUGUUCUGGAACUCCCCACACGAAAAAUGCCACAUAAGAAGGUAUUUUCAGAUAAAAUAACAUAAUGUAAGACAAAAUAAUAUUUCACAUUAGAGUAAACGCACAUGACUGAUACUUUAAAGAACUAAAUAGUUUUGCCCCAGAGGUCACUGCUGACAACACAAUCACAGAAGCAGGUAGCGUAUCAUUUCAAUCUCAACCAAACAAGCAUAAGUAGUUUGGCUACAAAUUUCUUGCAAGCUUUUAGUAAUAGUUCCUAACCCACUAGAGAUCAAGACCCAAGCGGAAGGUGAUUUAUGGAAUAUCAAUGCUGUCAUGAAUUGGUGUGGCAUUGAAAGGUUGGAGCCAUGAGGCGCCCCAGAAUUUUAUCCCAGAUCGACUGGUUAAUACUACAAAGGAUCAUCAUCAACAAAAAGAAGGUUCUCAAUGAUAAAGGAAACCAUUGAAAAAAAAAAAAAAAAAGGAAGUGCAUCCCUUUUCUUCACAAUCAUAUCACAGCAUCCACAUAACUAAUCAUGUUUUUAGAUUUUAGAAAAGAUUAUUCUUAUUUAGAUCGAAUUCACUAGAAGAAAAUUUAGAACAUCUCAAUGCACCAUAUAAAAUGAAAUGCUUCUUUUUUCUAUUAUUAAAUUGCAAAAGGUGACACUUAACAUUGACAGCAUUAGCCCCACCUCAACAGCAUUCGCAAGUGAUCCUUCCAAGAGAUUUUGCCAAUACAGAUCACAGUGGUAUUUGCAAAGCACCACAGUGAACAAGCUUAAGCGCAGAAGAGAAAAGAAGUUGGGAAGAGAAAAUACAACAAACGCUGAAAAGCAUAGUGCAUUUUGAUUCACAAUUUGUUUGGCGGGUCACGCAAGUGCGAAAGUAAGCACAGUUUUUGGGCAUCAAGAAGAGUUCAAGAUAUGUCAUCAAUAUAGCAAGAUGCAGCUUUGUGAACAGUUCGUUCUACAUAUGUCAAUCUUUCACCUUCAGUGGCUGGUUUUCGAAAAUUUAUGUGAAAAAUCUGAAUGAGGAAAAUCAGUUCGUAUCAAGCAUCGAAUUUAGGAACUGGCUUCACCUCAUUCGGUGGGUGCUCAUAACUCCUCAAACCUCCAGAGCUGGUGAAGCAGUAUCCUAAGUUGGAAGAGAAGGCAAUGUUAAAAAGGUGAACAAUUUGGCGCUCAAAAACCAUUGGAAGAGCAACAUUGUAAGUGAAAAUGCACAAAUCAAACAUGCAUACAGGUAAAGAGCACCAUUUUAAACAUAAAUUAUAAAUUUAGGUUUGGAACCAAUUUUUCCAAUAUGAUGUUACCCAACAAAAUAACAUUCUCCUAGGCAGGCUUUGGUUGCCGAUCUCUUCUCUGAGGAUGGAUAAGCUAUCAGAUCAGAGAUUGAGUCUUGGGGUUCGCCGCUUCCUUCCUUAUCUGGAACCCAAGAUCGGUUCUGUUGGAGGGAGGACUCGACGGGCUUGUUCUCGGUGGCCUCGGCUUGGGAGGCCUUAAGGAGGAAGAAGGCCAGAGUCAAUUGGCAUUGUUUCAUUUGGAGUAAUGCCAUCCUGCCUCGCUACCAACUGAACCUGUGGCUCAUCACCAAGAGGAGGUUACCUACUCAGUCUCUUCUCAUGUCUUAUGGUAGGAUUGAUGCUGCUUCCUGCCCUUUUUGCAACGAGGUGCCUGAUUCAAUCAAUCAUCUUUUUUUUGGUUGUCGCAUUACCUCGAGUAUUGCCUUUUUUUGGGCUACUAGAUGCAAUCUCCCCUGGACCAACAGGACUUGGGAGGAGACUCUCAGUUGGGCCAUUACGCUGAGCAAGGAGUUUUAUAAGUGUGUUGCCCGGUUCUCCUUUGGGGCGCUGUGUCACAUCAUCUGGAGAAACAGGAACAAUAUUCUAUUCAGGGGGGAGCCGUUAUCUAUUUCGGCCAUGAAGAAGCAUCUCCUCAAGGUUGUUAAGGAUAAGGCCUUUACCUUUGAAAAUGUUGAGGACUCUCCCAGGAACAGGCGGAUGCAACGCUCGUGGGAUGUGGACCCCAUUAUCUUCGCUUCCUCUGAUUAUAGUCUGACUUAGGCUUUUCGGUGGUUGUUUAGGUGUUUUUGCCAGGCUUGUUUUGCCGUUGGCUUGCUGUUGGUCGUUUUGUUUGCUUGUCCGCGGCUUCCUUUCACUCUUAAUGAGCGUGUUCAUUUUGAGUGUAAGCUUUUGGAGCCGUGUUGUUUGUACAGUUUGACCCCUAUUAAUAUAUUGCUUACUCUUACCAAAAAAACAAAAACAAAACAAAAUAACAUUCUCCUCUGAAUUCUGCUUAACAUCAGCAGAGCUCAUCCAUCCUUACUUUUCAUAUUGCAAUGCAUGGACUGAACCCCAGUGGAGCCGCAUCAACAAACCGAAAAAAAUAAUUACCUUUAGGGAAUGGUGCGAAAGAUUUCCCAAAGCCCAUCUUCACGACUUCUGCAUUAUCCAAGAGAACAAGACUGCCUCCAGACUCAAGUCCCCAGAAGAAAGGAACACUUCCAUCAACAUCCUGCAUGAUUCAGAGAACAGAAAGGAUUAGAUAUCGAUCACAGGUGACGGGAGAGAUUGAGAGUUAUAUCCCAGAACCAAACCAAUGAACAUUAUUAUUACUCAGAGGCCAGAAAAGCGGUUUUAGAACAGCUGUCGAAGAGCACAAAACCAAGCUUCCUGCUGAUGUCUCUCAUAACUUGAUCAGCAGGGUAAGGCCUCCGAUCCCCAGAGUCCUAUAAGCUUCUAUGAUGAUGACGACCACAUUAGCAGUUUUGUUCCAUCCAUACUGCUGCUUAAGAAGAGCAACAUUGUCUAUGUGUCCUUGGAACAAGCAGAAGAUAUUAUCGACAACCGCAAACAAUCUGCCACAGAGGGUAAGGCAUGUCAAAUCUUGAUGUGGGAUGAGCUGAUAAAGAAGAGAAGACAGUACCACAAUUUCCAUCAAUUAACAAUCCAAUAAAUUUCAUUUUCUGGCUUUCAAAUGAACUAGAGACUGGAGUUCCACUAUCUCUUCGAGGCUGAUAUAUCGAACCUUUCAAAAUAUCACAAUAAAGUCCACCAAAAAUCAGUUUGAUCUAACUGUUGCCUCUCCAAACAAUGAAAUCGUGAUUCUUUUUUUUUUUUUUUUUUUUUGUGGUUAAAGCUACCAUUAUCAAGAGAUGGAGUGGGUAUUUGAAUAGAAGAAAGAUAAACUUUAUUCUUUGACUAGGUAAUCAGUUUUUAAGUGGGUUUCGGCCUGCAUGGUUCGUUCAAAAUUUAGCUGUUUCAUUUGCAUAUUCAAACCCCCGUUUUCAAUUUAUCCUUCCAUCUAUACAAUAACUGUUAUUAGAAGAAAGAAAGCUUCUUAUUUUGAAUAUUGACCUGAACAUGUUAAAAGGAUAUUAUCCAACCAAUUCACGUACAGGAUUUCAUAUAGUAUUUUUGGCUAGGCAUGGCCUACAAUAUAGUUACUAAAAGCAAUUCUGUACAUAGAGUCAAAAGUACAAACUUUUUAAGAUAUUGGCAAGUGAUACUGCAUAUUCAAUGUUAAAAACUUAAGACUCAUCCUUCCAUGAGCCCUAAUCAAAUGACAAACAAGGGCUACUGUUACCGUGAGUACAUCCUAUAUAUCAGCAGCAAUCCUCUCUUCAUCCUUUUUCGCUCUCUCUGUAACAAAGCCUCAUUUUAUGUUUUGUAAGGUAAUGUGAUGUGAUCCCAUUGAACCACUCUCGGCUGAUGACGAACUAAACUUGCCUGAUUCAACGAGGACUGAAGUAUCUUCUUAUGAUCCUGGAAAUUCCCAUGGAAAGGCACCAGCUUGCCUUGAGAAACCACCCAGAGCUCAUCCAUGCUUCCAGAUAUUGGAUGCUCAUUGUGACUAACCUGCAAAUCAAGGUGAAAAGAUGGCUAUUAGCUGUAAAGGCAGUCCAUCAUUGGUCAAAUUGAAGUAUUUUGACAAGAAAAUCAAUCUCACCAUCAGACAUCUUCCUUGGAACAAGACCAGACCUUGAAUGACCGCCUCAACCGCAUCCAUAUCCUGUAGUUUGGGAUAGUAAAAAUCACAGAAUCAUACUCAUCAAUCCUUAGAAAAGAAACUAGCAAUUUACAAAGAUAAAACUUUAGUAGUCAUAGGUCAUUAAAGCAGAACUUAAAGUCCACAUUUAUAAACAAAGAAAUUUCCACAUUAAUUAUGUGCAAAACCCAAUGCUGCCUAUAGGAUAUUGGAAAUACUUGGUAUUAUGGAUUACUGCAAGACAAAAACACUGAUCGUGCUAGCAUACAUGUUCGAUUCCCAAUAUUUUGCCAGUUGGAACAAUUAGAUUGGUUUUGUUCCAUUAUAAGUUAGAUGUAAGAUGGCAGAGGCUCCCUGUUGUGAUCACUAAUUGGUUCCAUUGUAUUUUCAAUGUAAAGACCAGAUUCCUAUAAGUUCAAAUAGUGCAAGAACAAUAUAACAAGCUAACUGAAAAAGUCAUCGAAGUCACAAAAUGAAGAAAAAUGAGCAAAACUUACCAGAUGAUAGGAUGGCUCGCAAGCAAAACUAUGUAUGGUUUCUCGAAAUUUAUCUUGGCAAAUGCAACACUGCUUUUCUGACCACCUAUUUAUAUAGGCAAAGCACCAUGUCACAUGUGCAAUAACAUCCAAAAAGCCUCAGAGAAAGUACACAGCGAGCCGCAAUUUAGAUCACAAAUUAACUAACCUCUAACAAAGCUUCACAAUCUCACAUGAAAAUUGCUUCAACCAAAAAUUUACAUAUGCAACAGUAGCAUAGAGGGUGGAGAUAUAUCAGACAAGGUUUGCAUUCGUCAAAGUGCAAGAUUUCCAGUUACACCAAACAAACACAAGUGAGCUUGAAACUUUUGUUCCAGAACUCCCUAUAGGAAGAAUGCCACAUAAGAAGGUAUUUUCAAAUAAAAUAACAUUGUGAAUAUUGACAGUGCACCUAAUUCUUUCCUCUUGCAAUCAAAAGGCAAUCACAUUGAAGUACUUUUCUCUUGCAAACUUCGCACAAUCGCAAAUUGCCCUUGCCAACGGCUUUGGCAAAAAUAUCCACCAAAUAUCACCAUGGCAAAGCAAGACUACCAAACACAACAAUCAUCAGUAUGGCCAAUUGAAGUCAUAGAACAAGAAAAAUCUAAGAUGAGAGUGGAUACAAGAGAAACCGAUUCCACACGAGGUCCACAGCAUAAGACUUCACAUCGGUAGCGAUUGAUUUAGUCAUCUAGUCAUAAAGAGAAACGACAACAAUGACUACCGCUUCAUUCAUUCAUUCUACCUCACACAGCACACAUUUCUUUCGCAGACAUUGUCAACAAGAGACGAAGAACAUAUCAAUUGUCAACCAAACAAAAUGUGCAGGACAACCUUGGUGAGAUAAAAAUGGAGAAGUCACAAAUACGACCUAUUUUAAUUUCACAAUAUUUACUCGAUUGCUUUAGGCGGUGCUCAAGAUUGGCAAAAGGAUUUUACCUGAGAACCCCUGCAGAAUGGCUGCACAGCAAAUCGAGAGCGUCGAUUGUGGUCAAAUGCUAAAGAUCACCUUCGAUGUCCUCCCCUCGAGCAGAAAUAUACCCUUGCGAAAUCAAUGGCUGGAUGAGACGAAGUAUGAAUUUUUCCUCAUUUUUUAUCGCACUCUUCGGAAUGAAGCGAUACACCCAAACCUUUCAGCGAUUUUUUUCAUGUCCCUCCCCAAAUCAAAACGAGUAUGGAAAUACGAUAUCCAAAAAUUAAAAAUACAAAAAUUAAAAAUACAAAAAUCUGGGAAACAAGGUCCCACAUACCUUCAGUGAAGAAAAUUAGGGCUAGAUCUGCAAAUCAAAUGAUAUGUUCGGGAUGUGAGCGACCUUGUCCCAGUCCUCGCCUGCUUGUCUUUUGCAACUCUCCUCCAAUUCUCCGCACUUGUAGAUGUUUAGGUGAGUAAGGGAUGUGAGCCUUCAUAUUGCUUGAGGGAAUGAUGUCAACAAGUUGCACCCUCUGAUGUCGAGAAUUUGAAGUGAUUGAAGGGCCUCGAUCUGCUCUGGUAUAUCCUUCAAAUUUUGGCAUCCCCAAAUUUCGAGACGCUCGAGAUUGCGGGCCUGUAGAAGCCACUGUGAGAGUGAUGUCAAUUUGGGAAGCUCAUAGAUUUCCACGGAGCGGAGACAGUGAAGGCCUCCAUGGAAAUCCAAGAUGAUGUCGCGGCUUUCGUCUUUGGAUAUAUCCAGCUCCUCACAGUCCCGGAUAGAGAGAUCCAUGAGGCUCGAUAGAUGACGCAUACCUUGCGAGAGGGAAGUCAACUUAUGACACCACGAGAUGGUAAGAGAUUCAAGGGAAGUGAGACUUUGGAAACCCUUCACAGGCAAACAUUUCGGUAACUCUACAUCCUCGAUAUUCAGUCUCUUCAACUUAUUAAGGCCAAGCAUCAUCUGAUUUAUCAACAACGCUCCGUUGGCACGUGUCAGAUCGAACUCCUCGAGAUGAGGAGUUAGUGGCAUGGCUUUUAAUUUUUCACAGUCCUCGAUCUCCAAUUGCAAUAGAAUAGGAAAUGAUGCUGGUGAAGGGGAUGAUUGGUCCGACUCAAUAUAUUCCAAUUUAGGCAUAAGAUAAAUAUGCAAAGACUUGAGGCAAGGUAGUUGGUCCAGUGGGGGGAGACGUUCACAUCUUUUGCAAGCAUUGAACGAUACGUCGACUAAAUGUGGCAAGAAAGAUACAAGGCUAUCCAUCAUCCACUUGGGAAAGCUCUCACCUUUAUAUUCCCAGAUCUCCAACCUUUGUAGAUUUGAGGGCGGCUUUAGUCUAUCAAACAGCACUUCAUCUAUUACUACAUCAUCAGUAUUGAACUCGCCCCAACUAAGUACCAAAAAUUCCAGAGAAUGCUUCUCCAUCAAUAUCUCAUCCUCGCAUUUGACUUCCGCAUUUGUUACGUAUCCCAAAUUUUCAAUUGAAAGUUCUCCCCGGAGGUUAUUAAGCCCCUUUAGCUCCCCAAGUCCGCAAUAAUUCUUAGCACGAGCUUUAUCUUUGGGCAAAAUGAAGUUCGUUAGCCUAUGCAAAGAACUCAAUUCCCCUAUUCCACAUGGCAAAUAACUAAGUUUCAAACAACCAUCUAUGUCCAGAUUUCGAAGGCCGACUAACUUCCUUAUAUCAUUUGGCAACUCUUCGAGGGCAUCACAGAAAUUGAGAUUAAGUGUUUGCAAGCUCUGCAAUUUCGUAAUGGAGUUAGGAAGCCUUUUGAGUGUGCGGUUGUAAGAGAGAUCGAGAUAAGUGAGAUACUUUAACUUAUAAAUGGACCUUGGCACCUUCUCGACCUCUGUGGCUUGCAGAUCCAAGAUGCGCAACCUCUUGAAAUUUUGAAUUAAUUGGAGUAGGUCUACUUCACUUGUUAGAUUUCUUCCCCAACCUCCAACCCUACGUUUGGUCGUCCGGAUUUCUAAUCGGGAUAGGAUUGGAUAGGAUAGGAUAUGAAAUCCUGGGAUUUUUUUAUAUCCCGUCUAGUAUUUGGUGAAUCGCAGUAUUAAAGUCGGAUAUGUUCACAUUAUGUACAUUUUUUUUUAUAUAAACGACAUAUUAUUAUAAAUGAACCUAAAUGUUCAUAAAUAAAGACGGUGAAAAUAUCUCGUAACAUUAUUCCUUAAUUUAUUUAUUAUUUAUUAUUUAUUUUAUUUUUUCUCUUUUUUUUAUAUUAUUUUCAUUAUUAUUUCUUUUUCCCCUUUCAUCAUUCUUUAAUAAAAAUUUAUCAAAUAGUAAACUGUACUAACAUACCUAAAAUACAAAAAUACCUAAAAUAUAUAAUAAAUAUAAAUAUUUAAUUUAUAGGUUGAAUGUUUAUUAUAAAAUAUAAUUAAAACUGAAUAUAGAAAUUAAAAUAAGAUUAAUUAAAAAUAAAUUUUUAUUUUCUUAAAUUAGAAUUCAAAUAUUAUUUAUAUUGAAAUAUAAUUUCAAUUUUUUUAAUUUAAUAAGUUUGUUAUUCAAGAAAAAUAACUUUCCUUUUAUGGACAUUAGAAAUCCUAUCCACCUUUAUCCCACCUCCCCCAUGGGAUAAUUUUAUCCUGUCUAUAUCCCCCUUAUAUCCGACUUUAUCCUAUCCCGAGUGAGCACCAAACGUAGGAUAGGAUAAAUUAUAUCCUAUCCCGAAUUUUAUCCCGACUGCCAAACGCAGCCCAAUAGUACACAAAAAUGUUCUCAACACACUUGGUUUCAAGCGUGAGAUUGGAAGUUCACCCAUCAAAUUGAAAGUCAAACCAUAGGAUAUAUGACGAGUUCUUUCAUUUAUUUGAUUUAUGUCAUCCCUUGCCACCCAACACUUGUUCCUUGCAACCGAGCAGGCUAGAUCAUGCAUCAAAUCAUGCAUCUUGCAAGUUUCCUCCUUCGUGUAUGGAUCUUUUUUUAAAUCUUGGAAGAAGUUACUCCAACAUAGAUCCAUGAAAUAGUCAUGACCAAUGUCUUCUAAAAGCUUACCUGAAUUUGAUGGCUGGAUAAAUCCUUCUGCCAUCCAAAGAUCAACUAAAGUAUGCUUCUUUAUCUCAAAAUCUUUGGGAAACAAUGAACAAAUGGUGAAACAUUGUUUCAAAUGUGAAGGAAGAUGGUCAUAACUUAGCCUGAGAAUAGAUAUUAUAUCGUCUUUCAUUUGAGACACUUUUGGGAGCUCAACAUCUUUAAAACGUAACCAUUCAUCUUUAGUUUCCUUAAAGAAUAAUAACCUCCCAAUAGUUCGAACAAUCAAUGGAACUCCAUAACAAUUUUUAACUAUCUCUUUACCAAUAGCUAGCAUGCUAGGAUCUUGUCUAGCCCCUUCUUUUCGACCAGCCAUUUGCAUCAACAAAUCAAGAGAAUCACUUUCAGAUAAGCCAUUAAGAAGAAGAGGCGGAGCAGGGGAGGUGAUCUUUGCAACCAAAGGAAGGCGUGUAGUUAUAAGGAUCUUGCUUCCUCUAGCACCUCCCAUCAAUAAUGAUUUCAAGUCGGGCCAUGUUUCUAAUUUUGCAUCCCACAAAUCAUCCAAAACUAAGAGAUAUCUCCUUUUAUCAAUUAUUGUCCUAAGUUUACUUUGCAACCUAUCCAUCACAUUGUGGUUUGGUGGUUCUGUCUCCUCCACACAAACUAUGAUAUCUUUCACUAUUUUUAUCAUGUCAAAGUCAUUAGAGACACAAACCCACAUUUUCAAGUGAAAAAUGUUUACUAAUCAUCUCAUCAUUAUACACAAAUUUAGCAAGAGCUGUUUUUCCAAGCCCACCAAUACCAACUAUUGGAAGGAUAGAAAUGUUCUCUUUCACAUCCAUAUCCAGUAAGAAUUUCAUGACAUUCUUUUUAUCAUUACCUCUUCCAAUAAUGUCUUCCUCACAUAUAAACGAAUGCGUCUCCUCUCUCUUCCUCCACCCUCUCUUUGCUUGCGAAUUCAUAGGUCCCUUGUCCAAGUAGAAGUUCUUUUCAGCCUCAAUAUCUAUCAAUCUCUCCCUCACUUCUCUUAUUUUUCUACUCAUCUUCAGUUCAAAAGCAAGCUGGUUUGAACUUGAGAAAAAUGUUCUUACUGCCUUGAUCAUCUGAUUGUCGCCCCUCAGUUCUCGUUGCAUAGCUUCUAUAUUAAAUUCUUCAAGCACGUCCUGCAAGUCAUAGAAAGCCUCUUUUAGUUUCUCCACCCAAUCUUUGAUUUGGGAACUCUGGUGUUGUUGCUCUUCUGCAUCGUCCAGCACAGAAUGAAGCAUGGUGACGGUGCUCCUGAGCAUCUGAAGUUCACGCUUGAUGCCCCCCUAAAUUUCCAACCUUUCCCAGUGCUUGAGUAAUCAGAUUGGCAAGGACGCUUCCACCAAUGCUGAUGACAGCUUCUGCCAUAUUUGUUCUCUCUAUCUCUCUUUCUCUAUGGGGUUGAGAAGAUUUUAGUCCUGUCGUUCCAAGGCUAGAGUCUUCUUAGAUGAUGUAUAAAAAGUCUGUCAUUGAGAUUAAAUAAGUGUACAAUAAUAGUAGAUAAUAGAAAAUAUUUAACUGACAAAUAGUAAUUCCAAAGCAUCCUAUGUCAUGUAAGAUUCCAUCCCAUCUAAUAAGUAAGGCGAGUUCCUAUUCAUACAUUCUUCUAGAAACAUUAUGUUAGAUUAUAUUAGAUUGAUUAAGGUUUUUUUCUACCAUACUGUUAAGUAAUAUGUCUAAUUAACAUUAAGGAAAUUGGGAGGUAAUUGAGUGAUGAUGUGGUUCGACCGUUAAGCUCCAUUUUGCUGGACUUUCUUCUUAGUUUGGUUUUAAUAUACGAUGCGUAAUAAAUUAAAACGAAACAAGGUAAUCACAAUGAUCGGAGGCUUUUUAAAAAAUAAAUUUAAUUUUGUGCUUUCUUAUGUAAAAUUCAAAAUGUUCUUUAAAUAUAAAAAGUCAUUAUUCAAAUUACAUAUUAAUGUUUACGUGUUGUGAAAAUUUCAUAUGUUUCAAGACAAAAUAAUGUAAAAUGUAGACCGAGACAACAUUAGAAGAAACAAAAAUAAAAUGUAAAAGUCUAUCAAGACAAGCCGUGAGCUAAGUUGGUGAUGCUCUUGAAAUCCGCUAGAGGUGUUGGACCAUGUCGUUGUCCUUUGUACUUGUUAUCUUUUCUUUUUUCCUUACUUUUUCUCUUUUUGGGCGAACAGAAAGUGUAAGGUAACAUGAUGUUGAAGCAAAGCCACAAUUUUUCACUUCAUUGGCCGACAAAUGAGAAUCAAAAUCCACUUACGAGGGCUACACUACAUCCACCACAAUCUGCUCAAGCCCGGAAACUAUCUCAUUGCAGCUUAGAAAGUUAUCAUAGCUGUCUUGAAAGGGGCAGCAGCAUAGGGAAUGCCCCGAUGGAUGCCCACUCUCUAGUGUUCAGUGGACAAGAUCAGCUUAUGCUAGGUGAUAAAAUGUUGUAUUUUGCAAGACCGUACGUGUCAGAGAACAAGACAAAUGAAGAUAUUGAGUCUCAAGGUCUAGCGUCCCUGUCAAUUUGUGCACAAUCUCUUUUGAACUCUUUACCAAGCCCCUUUUCUUAUUAGUGUUGAACUCAAGUUCUUCUAAAUCACAUCCAAC